This 70753-nucleotide long non-coding RNA is filed under the name Brassica napus (rape). RNAcentral describes it as "long non-coding RNA (BNAP_LNC002222)". Lineage: Eukaryota; Viridiplantae; Streptophyta; Magnoliopsida; Brassicales; Brassicaceae. The record is from RNAcentral.
AAAAUGGAUAAAAGAUGAAAAGGACCAAGGGAUUACUAAUUAGUCUACAACCCAAAAUAAAACAUAUAAGAGAAAACAAAAGAGCUCUCUUCUUCUUUAUCCUCAAAACUUAACCAAGAGGUCUGUCUAAUCAAAUUAACAAUAAAAAACAAACAUUAAACAUUUUAGAGCUCAUCGUGAGACUCAUCCUCCUCCUCGGUCGCUCCUUCUCCACCUGCACCACCUGGUGCACCACCUGACCUCUGAUAAACGGCCGUGAUGAUUGGGUUACACACUGCCUCUACUUCCUUCAACUUCUCGUCAUACUCUUCCUUCUCUGAGUUUUGGUUCUCGUCAAGCCACUCCAAUGCUUCUUUGGUCGCUGCUUCAAUCUUCUCCUUCUCGUCACCCUCAAGUUUGUCCGCAAGCUUGUCCUUGUCGUUAAUUUGGUUCUUCAUGUUGUACACGUAGGUCUCGAGGCUGUUCCUUGCGUCGAUUCUCUCCUUCACCUUCUUGUCUUCCUCUGCAAACUCCUCUGCCUCCUUCACCAUCCGGUCGAUCUCUUCCUGGCUCAGACGUCCCUUCUCGUUUGUGAUUGUGAUCUUCUCUGAUUUACCACUCGCCUUGUCCUCUGCCUUCACGUUCAGGAUACCGUUGGCGUCCACUUCAAACGUGACCUCGAUUUGGGGUGUUCCUCUGCCAAAACAAAGAGUGUUAUGAUUCUCGUCUAAGAUGCAAAGCAUAAACAAAGAAAGAUGAAGACAAACCUUGGUGCUGGUGGGAUUCCAGUAAGGUCGAAGUUACCGAGCAGCCUGCAGUCCUUGGUGAGACUUCGCUCACCUUCAAAGACCUGAAUGGAGACGGUGGUCUGUUGGUCUUGGUAGGUCGUGAAAACCUGAGACUUCUUGGUUGGAAUCGUCCCAUGGUCUUCCUGAACAAGUCGUUGUUAAGCUCCUCAAAACGAGCUCUGGUGAGUGGCUCCGAAAAAUCAAGACCAUCAAAGAGGGACUCAAUCUCAACACGGACUUGGUGCUGGCUACUAAGAGCUCUCUUGGCUCUCUCACAUUCCCUGCGGAGCUUUCCAAGAGCCUUGUUGUCCUUGCUGAUGUCCUUUUGGUGCUUCUUCUUGAUCAACUUGAUAAAGUAAUCCAUGAUCCUGUGGUCAAAGUCCUCACCUGCGCAGGAGAUUACAAACUCGUAUGAAUAUUCACGCCACAGCAAUAAUACAGAACAUGAAUUUGUUAUGUUAAGUAUAAGUUACCUCCCAAGUGAGUGUCACCAUUUGUGGAUAGAACCUCGAACACUCCGUUGUCAAUGGUCAAAACACUGACAUCAAAGGUACCACCACCAAGGUCAAAGACAAGGAUGUUCUUCUCACCACCCUUUUUGUCAAGACCGUAGGCAAUAGCAGCAGCAGUGGGUUCGUUGAUGAUUCUGGCAACAUUAAGACCAGCAAUAACACCAGCGUCCUUUGUAGCCUGCCUCUGGGCAUCGUUGAAGUAAGCUGCAAAUAAUCAACGCCAUAUAAAGAAUCAAUAAAACCGUAUAUACAUAUUUAAAAAAACGUAUGAUGAAGCGGAAUUGACAAUAAGCAAACCUGGAACAGUGACAACAGCGUCCUUGAUUUUCUUUCCAAGGUAAGCCUCAGCAGUCUCCUUCAUCUUAGUCAAGAUCAUGGCACUGACCUCCUCAGGAGAGAAAACCUUAGUCUCACCAUCCUUGAUCUUCACUUGAAUGUAUGGCUUGCCAUCCUUGUCCACAAUCUGGUAAGGAACAAGCUUCCUAUCCUUCUGAACCUCCUUGUCCGCGAAUCUGACAUGACAAAAACAAAGCAAGAAUUAAAGCAACAGUCAAUACGCAAAACAAGACAAAACAGAAACUUCCAGAAAGAGAAUGCACUUACUUUCGCCCGAUCAAUCUCUUGACAUCAAAGACAGUCCUCUCAGGAUUAACAGCCGCCUGAUUCUUAGCAGCCUCACCAAUGAGCCUCUCAUUGUCAGUGAAACCAACCCACGAAGGUGUAAUACGGUUUCCUUGGUCAUUAGCAAUGAUCUCAACAUGGCCAUUCUUGUAAACACCAACACAAGAGUAGGUAGUACCAAGAUCUAUCCCUAUCACCGUUCCCAACUUGGUUGCCUCUUCUUUAGCAGUUGAAAACGCAAAUAAACAUCCUGAAACAUUACGAAUUUAUAUAUUCCAUCAGUCAAUAAUCAAAAACACAAAUCUCCCAAACCGUAACCUAAUUGUUCACACCACAUUGUACAGCAAACGAAUCAUUAUGAACAAAUUAUCUUAAGAUCGUGAUCAUCAGAGUAUCGAUCUAACAUCUGAAGAUCGCAAUCCAUCAAAUCUCGCAAAUCAACAUUAACGAAUCCACAAACUAAUAUUCAAACCACAUUAUCAAGUAAACGAAUCAUUAUCGAGCAAAUCGUGAGUGGAGCAUCGAUCUAAUAACGCAGAUCGCAAAACUGUAAAUGAUAUUCAAAUCUAAGAGAACAGAUCGAGAAGUAGAGAUCUGAGAGAUCACUCACCGAAGAAGAUGAUCGCGAGCACAACGGUGCCGUUUGCUCCGAACGAGCGAGCCAUAGCGAGUACUUUGUGUGUGUCUGUGUGUUUGAGCUCUCUUUAGAUCUCUCUCUCUUUUUUUUUCCUUCUUCGCUUCUUUUUUAUUUUAAUUUUAAUUUUAGUUACUCCGCUUGGAGGUUAUAUAUAUAGGGGUAGUCUCCGGAGGCGCUUUUUAUGGGAAGACCACGAAACGUAGACUUAUGUCAUCGACGAUUACGUGGACCAAUGAGGUUGCGGCGAUCUGUCGCGCUAGCCAAUCAGAUCGGGUCUUGUGUUGGAGUAAUCGUGGCCGUUGGUUACUUGCUAGGAGCCUAGGACUAUGUUUCUUUUUCGUUGUAGAGAAUGGGCUUUCUUUCCUUUUUGUUUAGGCCCAGCCUUGAGUCGAUUCUAUUUUGAGAAAUGUUUGUUGUUCUGAUCAUUAUGAACUAAUUAAGGACAAAAACAUAUCAUUGAUCAAUUUCACACAUUAAUUUGCUGCUAGUAUUUGAAUGCUGUGACCAACAUAAAUAGGCCAUAGGAAGAUAUUGUACCAAAAGAAAAGGAAAAAUGAGCCUGAUAUAGUAGAGGUGGAAAUCCAGAAAGGGAAUAAUUCAACUCAGAUUUUUGGACCAAACUCGAAUCGGACCAUAAUUUGUUUUUUUUUUGCACAAAAAAAAACCUACCUAGUUCCAUUAACUGAUGAUGAGGUUACUAGCAACAUGUUUAUAUUAUAAAAAUAGGAAUACAACAGUUUUUUAUUUCUUUAAUAGGAAUACAGCAGCUUUUUAUUUCUUUUUUUUAAAAAUAAAGUGUUUUCAAAACUAAACAGAGAUUUAAUAAGUAUUCAGAAAAUGCUUGUAAAAUUUCAAAACUUUUGAAGUUUUUUUCAAAAAUGAUAUAUUGUUGUAAAAGUCUUCCACAUUUAUGGUAAAAGUCUAAAGAUAGUUAAUGUGGUAAACAUGUCAUCAGCGUUUUUUGUUUUGUUUCUCUUUCUUUGCCUUCUUCGUGUCUUUUUGUGUUGCGAAGAAGAGAAAUACGAGAGCCCUAAUUUACAAUUUCACUAAUUCGAUUUUGUUUAACUCAAUAGGCUUUCGAAUCAAAGCAAUCGGUUUUUGUGAGUAGACAAUCACUGUUCCUCAAACGCAUUUUAGAUAUUUAAACUUGAUUUUGAAAAUUUAAUUAGAGAGGGGAAAUUGGACAAGAGAAAAAAGAUUGGAGGGCUAUAUGAAACGAUUAUAUAUUAUUUAUAUACUUUUGGGUGGCUUCUUGAGGAGUUGUGAAGUGAUGAUAAUAAAUAGAGUUAUUUUUUUGAUAAAAAAUGUUUACAAAGGUUUAAGGCAGUCAUCCUUUAAUUUCUCACGUGCGUCAUGUAUUAAUGUCCUUUGCCGACAGUUUCUCACUGUGGUUAUACACUAGUACAUAGUACAUAUAGUACCUAUCAUAUUUUCUACAUUUAUCUUAGGCAUCUCAAACUUAUGUUUAGAAUGUUAUGAGCUGACAAAAAAAGGAAUGUUAUGCAUUUUUCUGAAAGACUAAAUCCACUUCUUCUCAACAUUUAAUAUUUUGUUCCUGAUGAUAUUCAUGAAUCAUUCCGUAACUACAAUAACUAGGAUAAGACCCGCGCCUUGCGCGGGAUUAAGUUAUUAUUUUUAUUAUAUUUUGGAGAAUGAAACAAUAGUUUGGCUUCAUUUGGAUUACGGGUGUUCAAUCCGAAUAUCGGGUUGAUUUCAGUUCAGUUCGGUUUUUUUCGGUAUUUGGUUAGUAAAAUAUAACUACUAUUCUAAAUCCAUAUUUACUUUGACUUUAGUCUUUCACAUACUUUUGAAAGAUUUCAACUAGACGAUUAAAUUGAUCAGCCAAUCUUAUUGCUUUAAAUCAUAAGGUUAUAUAUAUAUAUAUAUUAUUUAGUUUGAAUAUUUAUUAAAUAAAAAUUCAUAUGCGUUAUAUUUUAUGAUCAUUUGUAACUUAUUAUAACAAAAAAAUAAUCUAUUGAUCACAAAAUUUUCAGAGUGGGAAUAUUCAAAUUUCUAAUAAUAUAUAGACGUUUUGAAAAAUUCAAAUAUAACAUAUAAGAAAAAAUAUAAAUGUUUUUAUUAUAUAUUUAAUGUGAUUUUUUAAUAUCUUUCAAUAAUAUAAAAUUAAAAAAAAAAGAACUAAGAUACCAAAAUUGUUAUCAAAUAUUUAUUAUUCAUAAUAAUUAAUUUUCAUAUAUACGUUAAUCAUAUUAGGUAAUUUCGUAGCUUCUAAUUAAGGAAAGUGCAAAAAAAAUUUUGGUAGAUUAUUUAUCAAUUCGAUAGUUAGUUUAAUAAAAAAUAUAAUGUAAGUCAAGAUGGACCAACCUAUUUUUCUAAGAAUAGUAUAUUUUAUAUAGUCAUUUAUUAAAUGAGAAUUUAUAAUCAUACAGUUCUAUGAUCAUUCAUAUCAUUUUAUAACUGAAUAUUUAAAUCAUCGAUAACAAAAUUUUCAAUCUGAAAUCUUUAAUAAGUUUAUAAUUUAUAAAUGUUUUUGAAAAUUCAUUGAAAGUUUUAAUAUUAAAAUAUUUAUGUAAUCUUAUGGUAUAUUGUUUAAUAUAUAUAUAUAUAUAUGUUUUAUUAUUAAAUGAUAUUUUUUACUCAUAUGGUUUUAAAAUCAUGUGUAUCUUCUUAUAAUAAAAAUGUUAAACCAUUGAUCAUUAAUUUUUAACAUAAUAAUUUUAAUAGUUUUAGUCAUUUAUUGUCGUUUUUAAAAAUUCAAAAUAUAACAUAUACGAAAAAAUCUAAAUUUUAUUUUUAUAGCUAAUUUGAUUGUUUAAUUUAUUUUAAUAAUAUAAAAUUAAACAAAAAAUGAUGGAGGAGAUAUACAUUGUUAUCAAAUCUUUAUUAUUAAACUCAUUAAUUGUCAUAUAUAUAUUAGUCAUUUAUGGUAAUUCCGUAGGUUUUAUUUAAGGAAAGAAAAUAUCAUAUCAUAUCAUUAUAUCAUAUAGUUUGACCAACUUAUAUAUCUAACAACAUAUAAAAAUCGAAUGUGGACCUACUUAUUUUUCAAUUGAAUGUAAUUGACUAUCUAAUUGAGUGUCACCUAUGCAUUGGGGCCUCUUUUAAUUAAUACAAAAUUGAGGUUACAUUUUUUCAAAUGUUCCUCAAUUAAUAUAUAAGGGAUUUUUCAUUUUCACCAAAAUAGACAGAGUAAUGCAUCCGUACCGUAUGUAUAUUAACGUACGAGUAAAUAAAGUAGGGUUCCGUCCUGCACUUUUCAGUCCUGUCUUUGAAUCCAGUGAAUAAGACAUCGGGUAACAAGCACCUCAGUGCGAAGAUAGUCGAUUCUUGGAUUUCACUCAAAUCAUGUGAUGGUCCAUGUCCCUGGUUCAGAAUUGAUGUCUUGUAUAAGUCUCCACUUUUAGGUCGGAUCUUUUGUAACUUCGUGGUUUAAAAGAAGUUUCAGUAGAAUAAUGUGUUCUCGUGGUGGUUUAAAAACAAUGAUGAACGAUUAGGUAAUGUAGGUACCUAGUGAAUGUUCCUAGACGGAUACUUGAUCGUGCAUCAUCGUCUCUGUGAUUAAAACUUUUUAAGAUCCAUUAAAAGUUGAUAAAUGAAAGUUGAAGUCGAGAGGAAUAAAAAUAAAAACAAUGGUAGGGUCCAAUAGGGACAGGCAUUGACUUGGAAUCGUAUGAAAUCUGAUAGACAGUGUAGCGGCCCAACAGCCCAUCGCCAGCUGGAUUUCUUUAAAAGUGGGUCCCAUCUUCGAUCCGUUUCUCCCAAAACUCACGUGACCUCCCCCUCCAUCUUUCUUCACUAUCUCCCUCCUCCCCACGUGACCUGACCUCUCUCUCUCUCUCGCCUCUCCUUCAUUCAUCUAGCAGACGAGCCCUCGCUCCGAUAUGCUCUGUAUCCUCAUUGCUAUCCUCGGUAUAAUCGAUUCUCCUCUAAUCCUUCCUCAUUCUCUUUGGUUUUGUUUCUCUACAAUUUCUCUCCUCGAUCCCAUUGCAUUUUUGAUCGUCUUUCAAUUUCAGUUAGGUUUAUGUUCGAUUUUGUUGAAUCCGUUACUCAUACGGAUCUGCAUUAAGAUGAUUUAGCAUCUCCAUGACUCAUCAAUGUGUGAUGAUGAUUUGAUUCUUCAACGUUGUGUUUGUUGUUUUUGCUACUUAUGUUUUGAUUCUCGAAUCUUUUUUAAUGAUAUUGAUUAUUGUGGGGCCAAUGGUGGAGUAAUAACGAAUUGAUGUUAUAAAGUUGCUUGCUUUACAAUAUAGUCUUCUUGGUUUGCUCAUUUUAAUACCAAUCCGGUGGGCAAACAAACCCUUUGUUUUAUAGCCCAUGUUAUUUUGCUGUCUGCUAAUUUUAUCUGUCUUACAAGGUUACAUGUAUUGUUCUUAUCUAGUGCAGAAACAAGAGCAGAUGGGUCAGAUUCUACACAAGUCAGAGCGUUGUUAUCGAUUUAGACAGCCUCUUAUGGGGUAAAAGAGAUGGUUAAAAUAGUGAUACGACUUAUCUGAAAGAUGGAAGAGAGACGAGAUGAAUCGUUAUCUUCAGAACUUGCGGAAAGGGUGAAGUUACUUUCUGUUCAAUAUCAAGGUGAAGGUUUGAUUAGGGAGUCUCCUAGGAGUGUUGAGCAGGAUGUCUCUCCAGGUCAAAGGGCAUCACAGCUUCUUUGGGAUACUGGGAUGCUUUGUGAACCCAUUCCUAAUGGUUUCUACUCUGUUGUUCCGGUGAGCUUCUUGUUUUUCUUAUUUCCGCUCUUAUUUAGGAAGAUGCUGCUUCUAAUGUGAUUUUUUUUUUGGCUGUAGGACAAGAGAGUAAAGGAACUAUAUAAUAGACUACCCACUCCGAAUGAGCUUCAUGCUUUGGGAGAGGAAGGUGUCAGAAUUGAAGUCAUUCUUGUUGAUUUUCAGAAGGAUAAGAAGCUUGCCAUGCUAAAACAGUUGAUCACUACACUUGUCAGUGGCUCAAAUCCUGCUUCGAUGAUCAAGAAAAUAGCUGGAACGGUAGAAAUCCUCUUAAAUGACUUUUCUCUCUUUGUUAUAGGUUUGCAUUGCAUGUUCUCAGGCGUUUAUUCAUUCUCUUUAAACAGGUGUCUGACUUUUACAAGCGUCCUACACUGGAAAGCCCUUCAAAGCUUGCUCUGGAGGAAAAUGCCUUCUUGUUUGAAAACCAUGGUGCUCAGUUGCUUGGCCAAAUUAAGCGUGGGUGCUGUCGAGCUCGGGCAAUUUUGUUCAAAGUUUUGGCUGAUACUGUUGGACUUGAGAGUCGGCUGGUGGUGGUGAGCCUCAACUUCUUGCUGUUUCAGUUUUCUUGUUUCCUCUGAUUAUGUGCUAUUUGUCUCUAACAAAUCAACCUUCUCGUUUGAUUCAUAUGAGCAGGGUCUGCCUAAUGAUGGGACUGUGGAUUGCAUGGACUCUAACAAACACAUGUCUGUUAUAGUCGUGCUGAACUCCGUUGAACUACUAGUUGAUCUAAUCCGUUUUCCUGGUCAGCUGGUGCCUCGAUCAGCCAAGGCAAUUUUCAUGUCACACAUCACACCUUCGGGAGAGAGUGAUUCUGCCGAAAACGACUCUUGUGACUCGCCUUUGGAGCCAAAUAGUCCUUUAUACGAGAGAAGAGAUCCUGAGAGGUCAGCUUUCCGUUGCGUGAUUUUCUUGCUAAACCAUUUUAUAGGCAGAUCAUUCUGGACACAUCUCUUGUUAUAUGCUUCCCCGGGAGUGAUGAACCGUUUCCUUAUGUUACAGUACAGAAAAAGAUGAAAAAGGAUAUCCAAAUGCAUCAUUGCAUAAUUUGAUGCUUAGACCUGCUACAGCUAUUGAAAGAAAAUUGAGGUACCUGUGACAUAUAUUCUGACAAGUUGUAUCUUUAAUGGUAGAUUUAUGAUAGAAAUGUGUUUUUUUCCUUCAGUAACACCUCACAUAGUGAACCAAAUAUUGCCACUGUGUUCUGGAGACGUAGCCGCAGAAAAGUGAUUGCUGAACAGAGAACAGCUAGCUCGAGGUUUUUCCCUGCUCUUUCUAGCUUAGAUUAUAGUUAACAGAAAAUAAAAUACGCAGAUCAUUACAUUGAUAUAGUAAUGAGUUGGAAAAUGUAAAAGUUACCGUUUCUCUCCUUCUUGCUGCUUUUAUAUUUAAAUCUCCUGAUAAGAUGCAUCUCAGAAAAUUUGCUUGGCGAUUCUGUAUGCGUUAUUUGAAGUGUGCCUUUCUUUAUGCUCAACUGAUAAAAGUCGGCAAUCUGUUACAUUUGCAGCCCAGAACACCCAUCCAUGCGAUCACGUGGACGAUCUAUGUUGAGUACUGGUAGGCACUCGUUUAGGGAUUACUCUGGUGAUGCAUCUCCUUCAAGGUAGCUCAUUUUUACAAUAGUGCAUACCAAAAUCUGUCAGCCUUUUCCAUACAUCUAGUCAGCAUGUUUGACAGGACUUCCAAUAUUAGUUAGUUCCUUAUUCAAGUCUUUGCUAGAUUUUGCAAAUUUGCUCACAUAUGUUAAAACCAACGUAUGAGGCUGUGGUUGCAGACCCUAAGCUUUUCAUUGGUUCCUUGGAAAGGCUACACUCUAUCUUUUCUAGAAAUUUAUGUUCAGAGAUUUGGGAUUUCUUUCAGAGCCAACAAAACCAUUAAACUUAUUCUCAUAAAUAAUGAAAGAUAAAGGAAAGUAAUAACUUAGAUGUAUUUAGUACCUAAGAGAGAGUGUUGCCUUUCCAAGGAACCACCCAUGAAAAGCUUAAGGUCUUCAACCACACCGUCAUAUAUUGCUUCAGGGAUAAUUCAGAUAUUGUUCAAAUAGAUCUCAAGGAUUAAUAUUUGCUAGAUUUUGCAUAUUUGCUCUUAUUAUAUGUUAACUCGAGUAUUAAUUUUUGUCUUUGUAAAUUUCACUCCAUUUUAGUGAUAAUAUACUUUACUAUUCUUGCAUUGUUUGUCAGAAUUCUGAUCUUACUAUUACGAGAUGCCCAGAGCAAUAUGUAUAUUUGAUUGGCUGUGCAAACAAAUUUUAAAUAUGUUUAUCUUUCUAACAGUUCAUCCACAUUAGAAAUUCGUAAAACUAGACGACGAAGUUUCAGGAUGACACCAGAGAUUGGGGAUGACAUUGCGAGGUUGGUAUUCUCAACCGUGUGCACUGUUUCUUCUUUCAUCCUUUACAAGCAUUUGUGUAAUUAUCAGCUUGCAUAUUAAAGUCUCUUUAUUCGAACUUGUUCUAUCAAUCUAAGUUAUGAGGUAAUUUUGGAACUCUUCGAUCAUCUUAACAGCUGUCAUUAUAUCACAUGGAAUUACGGCAUGAGCCAUCUAAAAUGCAAAACUGUUAUCUUCAAAUUCGUAGAUGCUUAGGUGUCUGUAGGAUAGUGAUGUACCAAUGUGAUGUUGAAACUAUAUUUUCACUCUCACUGCCACAAAAGCUUUUAAACCAUUUCAUGGCACUUCUUCUAACUUUGUGAUUUGGUACUGAGAAUUAUGAGAAAGAACUCAUGAAAGAGUGAGCUGCGGUUUUAUCAUUUUCUUGUGUAUUGAUUCUGUUGUUACAAAUUUUUGAAGCGCUGUACGAGAAAUGUAUGAGAAAUCAAAGCAAAACCGUCUCUUGCAUGGCCGAGAGGAUGAAAACAGCUCAGGUAUCAAUAAAAAUGUAAGUUGGGGAUCUUUGAGUGACUAUUGUGUUGUGUCAGUUCUCUUCCCAUAGUUUAACCAGUAUAUACGUUCUGAGUUUUCUCGAGAAAGUCAUUGCACUAAGAAGUUGAAUCUAGUGGCUCGUACCUCUAUAAACUCUUGUGCUUUCUUUGGUUGUUAUUUUCCAGGUGUCUGGCCUCCAUCUUGAUGAUGUGUUAAAUUCGAAGAAGACAAUGUCGUUGCCAUCAUCCCCUCAUGCUUACAGGAGUCAAGGAUUCGGACGUAGAGGGCCUUCAGAUUUUGCCGUGAAGGAUACGUGGAAUAAAGUGGUUGAGUCUUCCACAUUGCAGAAUCAGCCUUUGUUACCCUAUCAAGAAUGGGACAUUGACUUCUCAGAGCUGACUGUUGGAACUCGGGUGGGGAUUGGUAAGCUGCUCUAAAUUUAUCUUUGAUAUGGACAAUGCAGUUUUUAGUUCAUUUUCAAUUACUUAAGCAUUGUAGUAUAAAGAAUCAUUGUUUUAUGUUUUGCAUCUAGGAUUUUUUGGUGAAGUUUUUCGUGGAGUGUGGAACGGGACAGAUGUUGCUAUCAAAUUGUUUCUGGAGCAAGAUCUUACUGCCGAAAACAUGGAAGAUUUCUGCAAUGAGAUAUCGAUUCUCAGGUACCUUGUUAUCAAUUGCUUGGUUAUUGUUGUAUCAAUCCCUGUAUACAUCUACUAACUAUUUUGCAUGUUUGCUCGGGCAUCUGUGGUUUCUCUUCAGCCGAGUUCGCCACCCAAAUGGUGAUUUUUGUUUUCCUCACAAUCUCUCGUUUCAUGUUUAUUAAAUAGUUUGUGGAGACAUGUCUAAGAUUAUUUUCUUCGUUCACCUUUAUCAGACAAGUUGUGAUCCAUGUUUUUGCAGUUGUUCUAUUUCUGGGUGCCUGCACAAAACCUCCGCGCUUAUCCAUGAUUACGGAAUACAUGGAGCUGGGAUCUUUGUAUUAUUUGAUCCACAUGAGUGGUCAAAAGAAGAAACUUAGCUGGCACAGAAGGCUCAGGAUGCUAAGAGACAUCUGCAGGUACAUUAGCUUGGUUAUAAUGUUACCAAUUUAUUUGCUCUGCCUUGUGAAUCUGAGGAUUAGUUAUUAACUGCUUGGGGCUUAUUAUGUCAUCUUUAUUUUUAGUUAUUAGUUCCUUAUUAAGUAGUAUAUCUUAAUGGAGUGAACAAACUUGAUUUGUUUCACUCUACAUAAGAAACAAGAGCAUCUUAUACAUAUUUCCAUAGAUAGUAUAUUUCAAACUACAUAUGCGUAAUUCAUAUGCUGGUUUGUAUUUUUGAUUUGGAUGCUUAAGGGGCUUGAUGUGCAUUCACCGGAUGAAAGUAGUCCACCGUGAUCUAAAAAGUGCCAACUGUCUCGUGGACAAACAUUGGACAGUCAAGAUCUGUGAUUUUGGGCUCUCGAGAAUAAUGACUGAUGAAAACAUGAAGGACACUUCAUCUGCUGGUACACCAGAGUGGAUGGCUCCAGAACUCAUUCGCCAGGAACCUUUUACGGAGAAAUGUGAUAUCUUUAGUCUUGGUGUCAUAAUGUGGGAGCUUUCUACUUUACGUAAACCAUGGGAAGGUGUUCCACCUGAGAAGGUACAAUAUGCUAUGCCAUGAUUCUUCUAGCGAUGUUCAUUCCUGAACAUCUGGACCACUUGUUUCAGGGUUAAAUAAUUUCAUGUGAAUUAGAUUGAUUGUUGAAAGUUUGCUUCUUAGGUUAUAUUUGCUGUUGCGCAUGAACGGUCACGUCUUGAGAUUCCUGAUGGUCCACUCAGCAAACUAAUUGCAGGUUCGAUGUUGUUAAACACCAUAGUUUCUUGAACUUCUGAUUGUUCUUUUUCGUUUUUUUUUCUCUCAUUAUAUUCCACUGUUACAGUCUGAGUAAAUGUUACUAUAAUAUUUUCUCUGCAGACUGUUGGGCAGAGCCUCAAGAACGUCCAAAUUGUGAAGAGAUACUUAGAGGCUUGCUAGAUUGUGAGUAUACACUGUGUUAGCACCACUUCUCUGUGGUGGGAUAUGAGCCGAAGGAGUUUCAGCUCAAAAAGCAGCCCAGGUUCUUAGUUCUCUGCUCCUAAACUUACCUUAGCGGCUUAACUUUUAAGAUCAUGCGAGCUUCAAGGCUCUAAUGAGAGAAAUUCCCAGUUCAGUUUUGAGAGAGGCACCAAUGUAGACAAUAACAAGCAGUGUCUAUUGUGUGAUUCAUGGUCUCACAGGCAGUGUUUGUGGUUUUAAAGAGCAUUUUGGUCUAUUUCAAGAAAAUAUAGAUAUAUAUGUAAUGCUAUUCUUUUUUGGGAAAAAUAAAGAGCUCUUUGAUAUGUUACUUCAUUCAUCCAUCCAUUAUCUUCAAAACAAAGAUGAAAUUAGUAAGUGUGUGCAUAUGCUGCUGCUGAGUCGCUGACAAACAUCUCAUAAUAAACAGGAUAAUAAUAAGAAAGCAAUAACAAGCCAGAAUUUAAAAAAAAAAAUCAAUUACCAUCUAAAUGGAGUUUAUGAAAAUAAAUAAGUUAGCAUCAUUCUAACCAAAAUUGCAUCUCUCAAUCUGAGUUAUCAUCCCAAACAAGCAAAACAUAGAGCAACUACAACUAUAUAAUUUUUUUUCAAAAAGAAAAAAAAAACUACAACUAUAUAACUUAUAGGACACGAUACCUUAACAUUGUAUGCCUAGUUCUUGAUUAAUUCGUAUAUAUUUUAAGGUUAUAUAAUUUCUUGUGAUAUUAUUAUCUAGUGGGGAGUACUGGGGACACUACUGAGAGUCAUGCAAAAAUGAAGGAAGUUUCUUGGAUUCAACUUUAUUGUUCAUCCAAAAAUUGAAAUCUGGUGGUCCAUUUUCAGUUACAUGCAUGUAUGUUUCAUGAUUACAUUACAGCAUAAACAUUUACAUGAUUCUUCUCUAUAUAAAUGAUCCAUCACUCUUCUUCUCUUUGUUCUAUACAGAAGCAGAGUAAAACAAAGACCCAAAGAAUAAAAAAAAUGGAAGCUAAAGUCAUUUCUUGCACUACUUUUGGAGAAGACAAGGUCAUAAAGAUUGUUGUUUCGAGCCGUCGUGCAGUCACCAACUACAAACCUGGAGAAAACGAAACGACCGUUGUUGUUGCCGAUGAUACUUGCUCCAAGAAAGAUGUUGAAGAGAUUAAGAAGACUUGUGAGAAGCUCGAUUAUGUUUACGAAGGAAGACUUCACGAAGAUUACGCUCAGAACAACAUUGGACCUGGUUUGGUCUGAAAGUUUCAGAGUUACAGUUAAACUCUCUAUGCUUUGCUUCACUUUUGUCUAAGUACUUUUCUUUUCUGCAUUUUUUCUUUCUAUGUUCUAAGUUAGCUAUUGGUGGUUUGCAGCUAUGAAUAUGAGUUUAUUAGUUACAUUUUCUUACAACACUGACUUUGACCUAAUCACUCUGGCCUUAACACACAACAAUCUAACUUGUUAAUAUAAACUGAAUGUGGUGCUUUGAGACAUCGGUUUUUUUUAGUACAAAUGGAGAUGGCUUCUCCUAUAGCUUGAAAGAAUGUAGCAAUUUUGUAAGUAAAGAACCCAACCAACAUUGGUUUCAACUUCAAGUGCAUGAAUCCAAUACUCAGGGACAAGUAAUCUGCCAAACAUAUUCAAAAAGUAAAUCUGAUUGAUGGAACCAAGUUAGUUGUAGUGAAAAGAUAUAAUAAUGCACAAGAGAGAAGCGCUUACGCAUUCCAUCUGUUGAAUAUCAUAACCAGCGCAAGUAUGGACUAUUCAAGGUGUUACGGAAGAUCAAUGAUAAUGUUUAUGUUGUGGCUCUCCCAGAAUCUAUGAACAUUUCUAAUACCUUCAACGUAGCUGACAUUCAUUAGUAUCAAGCAGAUGAGAAUUUGGGGACAAGUUCUUCAUGGAGGAGACUGAUGUAAAAAGGAUUUACUAGUUUUUCCUUUUUGAUAUUUUCUAUUUUUGUGAGUUUUCCUUUUUUUUUUCUUAAGUUUCCUUUUUAGUUUUCACGUUUGGAUUUUUUCUAUUUUAUGGUUGAGAUCCUUCUCCAUAUAAAAAGAGGUUCUAAGUUUUUGUAAGACACAACUUGUUAUUCUAAUUGAGAGCUUUUAUCUAAUCUGGUGGAUUUCCAGAGUUUUCUCUUCAAAUUCAUCGCUUGUUCUAGUGUUUGCUAAUCCUAAAGUUUUCCGACUGCGUCAGAAGCAGAGUAAAAAAAACAAAUACUCAAAGAAAAAAUGGAAGCCAAAGUGAUUUCUUGCACUACUUUUGGAGAAGACAAGGUCAUAAAGAUUGUUGUUUCGAGCCGUCGUGCAGUCACCAACUACAAACCUGGAGAAAACGAAACGACCGUUGUUGUUGCCGAUGAUACUUGCUCCAAGAAAGAUGUUGAAGAGAUUAAGAAGACUUGUGAGAAGCUCGAUUAUGUUUACGAAGGAAGACUUCACGAAGAUUACGCUCAGACCAACAUUGGACCUGGUUUGGUCUGAAACGUAGAGUUAAAGUCAACUCUCUAUGCUUUACUUCACUUUCGUUUAUGUACUUUUCUUUUAUACAUUUUGAUUUCUAUGUUCGAAGUUAUCUCUUGGUAGUUUGCAGUUAUGAAUGAGUUUAUAUGUGAGUUUAUUAGUUACAUUUUCUUACAACACUGACUUUGACCUAACCGCUGGACUUAACACAGAACAAAACUAACUUGUUAUAUAAACUGAAGUAGGUGCUUUUAGACAUCGCUUUUUUUAUAGUAGAAAUGGAGAUGUCUUCUUCUAUAGCUUGAAAGAAUGUAGCAACUUUGUAAGUAAAGAACCCAACCAACAUUGGUAUCAGCUUCAAGUGCAUGAAUUCAUACUGAGGAACAAGUAUUCUGCCAAACAUAUUCAGAAAGUAGAUCUUAUUGAUGAAGAUAUGAUAAUGGACAAGAGAGAAAAGGCUUACGCGUUCCAUCUAAUGAAUAUCAUAACCAACAAAACCAGGACUAGUAACCGUGGCUGUCCAGCUGCACCUCUAUCAGAUCAAUCAAGCCAAGAAAGAAAAGAAAAAUGUGAGUGAGUCUUCUCAAUAUAGAUAACCGAAAUGAAUGAGAAUAGAAAGAGGUAACACGUACUUCAUAACUCCUCUGGCUCCAUCUGCCAUGGCAUCUACAGUGUUACCAAACAUUCUCAUGUAAGCUAAUGAACCCAUCAAGCCAGCACCAAAACUGUUAACAGAAGUUCCAACACAGAUACAAAUAAAUCCGAUCAGAUGACUUCACAGUUAUUAAUUUUGAGAGGUUUUGAUGUCCUUUGUAGGAGAAAGACAAACCUAAUUAGUGUUAUCUCUGGUGUUGUAUUGUAUGAAAUAUAAGCUGAGACUAAACCAACACCACCAAUGCCAACUGUGAGAAGCUGUAGCUUUAUUUUUCAACUGCAAAAAUAAAAAUAAAAACCGAAAGUCAAAGAGAGUGAAAACCAAAGAGUCCAUGAAGAUUAAAGAGUUUGAUGCAAAACCAAUAUGCCUUUCAUGAGUGCCCAAACCGUAAAACCAGUAGCCAUAUAUACCGUGAAAGGAUGAUUAGCUAACGAAUAGGUUUGAUAUUACGUAUGAUAAUAAUUUUUGUUUGAUAUUAUCUGAUGUCUGAUGAUCAUCAUCAUCAUCACCUAUUAUUAUUUUAUCAAGAAAUAAAUCAAAAUACAAGAUAAAUCUGAGUAUAUAUUCAUUGACUAAACAAAAAGUAUUGUUAUUACUUAUCAAAAAAAAAAGUAUUGUUAUUAUCUCAAUUCUCUUUUCUUUUUAAGCUUUUUCCAAAGUUAUUAAUAACUUCUUCCUUUUUUACUUACUUUGUUUAUAUUUUAGUUUUGUAUUUUUAAAGUUUCUGUUUUUGUAGUUUCAUAUGUAUUGACGGUUUAAAGAAGUAAUUCACAGUAAUGAAGGUUAAAUAGAUGACUAUUACAAAGAUUUUAAACCAUCUGUCCUUAAAGAUCAAAAGAAUAUAUAAUUUUAUACGAAAUAGAAUUUUAAUUAUAUAAUAUAAAAAUCUGGAAAGUUGUUUGUAAAGAAAUUCAUACAUCGACUAGGAAACCCAAUUAUAUCAAAAUCUCUAAUGAAUGAGGAAGGAAUAAAGGACAAGUUUAACUAACAAAAAAUAGAAAAUAAAAACAAGAAAGGAAAAAACAAACAAUUUCACUAACAUAUAUCCGACGUGGACUAAUCAAACAUAUUAAAAUUGCAAUCCUAAAACAAAUAAAGUAUGGGAAGCCUCCAUCAAGUUCUACUAUAUAUAAACACACACAAAUCUAUUUGUAGUUCCAUCUCUUUCUCAUUGCUUUCUACCUCUCGGCAAGUAAAGAAUCACAAUAUCAAUCAUGAAGAACACAAUCAUGACUUUGUUAAUUGUAGCAUUGUCACUAAUCGGAUUAGCUCGUUCUGCAUCUUUUUACGAGGUUGGAGACACCAACGGAUGGACGACAAAGAUGGGCCUUGACUAUUACAAGACAUGGUCUUCUUCAAAGACUUUCUAUGUCGGAGAUUCCCUCAUCUUUCAAUACAACAAAGAUCUCCACAACGUGAUGGAGGUGAGCUUCAAAGAUUACGAGUUGUGUAACCCUAAUUCAGCUCUGGCCACAUAUCACUCUGAGUAUGAACCGGUUAAGCUUAACAGAACCGGACACUAUUACUUCAUAUGUGGUGUGCCUGGUCACUGUGAAUGUGGUCAAAAGCUUGAGGUCCUAGUCAUGGCGCCUGCCUCUCUGCAGAAUCCUGCCACAACUCAACAAAACAACUCUUCUACUUCUUCUAACCCUAAACCUAAUCCUACUAUUCCUGAUCCUAAACCUAAACCUAAUCCUACUAGUCCUGAUCCUAAACCAAAGCCUUCACCGCGUUGGGAGGAUCCUCUUGUGGUUCUUCCAGUAGAUGCUGCAACAAUUGCAUCACUUCCUCACAAUGUAGCCUCAGAUCCUUGUGUGUGGAGUGGGUUAAGCUUGCUCUCAUUCGUUCUUCUACAAACCCUAGUUUUUCUUUAAGAGUUUUUUUUUUUUGUCUUAGAACAAUGUUAUUUUAGGGUUUUAUUUUGAGAUUUGUGAGUAGAUUUUUUAUUAUUAUUGCUUAUAAUCUUAAUGGUGUUUGGUUUUCUAUUACCUUCAUGGAUAUUUCUCCAUAUAAUCACAAAUAACUUCUAAAUUAUGUACUCUUCUUUUUAAGCAUCACAGAUUUUGUUUAUCUGCAAACUGGAAUAUAUAACUUAAGACGUGAGGGUCGUAAGAUUUACCCAAGGUCACCCACAAAACUCUUUAUAAACCAUAAAUCCGCUGGUCCAAAAAGACCAUCGUAACGAAUCUUUUUUCUAUUUUUUUGUUAUCUAACAGAAGAAUGCAUCUUCUUGCGUAUAAGUUAUGGAUCUAUAUAUAAUCUGAAUAUUCCUCGUAUAUAUAUUCAAUAAUUGUCUUUGUGUAAGAAUGUGACAAGAAAGAGAGCCAGAACCAAACCAACUUUUACUAAAAACUGCACCGGUGGAAGGUUACUCUUUGGCUCGUUUGCUCUGUGAUUUACGCUUGGUAACGUCUAGACAUCUCUUCCUCAACCUAAUCGUCUUUGGAGUAACCUGAAGACAUUUAAACCAAUAACAAUACAUGAUAAGAAGGCAGAAAUAAAACGUUCCUCGUGGUUAGCUGGACUUAGGAUUGACGAUUAAUUAACAAUGUUACCUCAAUAAGUUCAUCUGAGGCAACGUAUCCUAUAGCUUCCUCAAGUGUCAUCUGAAUAGAAAAGAAAGAUAAGAAGUUUUAGUCAACAAGAAAACGGGUUUCUUGUCUCUUUCGAUGUUGUGAGAAAAGUAGAGCUAAAGGGAAAAGGGUACAUACGAGGCGAGGUGGAGAUAGCUUCACAUUCUCGUCUUUGUUAACAGAGCGAAUGUUGGUAAGCUCUUUGGCCUUAACCGGGUUAACCUGUAGUUUGCAAUGCAAGGAAGCUCAUGGUAUUUAAGUCAAUUUUAAGAGCCAAGAAGGAUGAGUCUAACCAACUUACAUCAAGAUCUGUGUCUCGUGAGUGCUCACCGAUAAUCAUGCCAUCGUAUGACUGUUAAAAUACAACGAAACAGAACAGGAUGCAGCAUUAGCAAAGGAUCAAACGCGCAAAGACCACAUAAAUGUUCUAACUAUGAAUAACUAAACCAAUAAAGAAACAGAACAUGUAUAUAUAUAUCAUAAAUAGAAAGGUUCUCACGUCCAGCCCCGGAGACACAAAGAGAGUCCCACGAGCUUCCAAACCCAUCAGUGAAUGAGCUGUAAUAGUUCCAUAUCCCAUCGAAACCUGUGUCAUCAAGAAAUAUAAAUUUCAAAUAUAACUUAAUAAUGCAGGCACGACUUUUAGGAAACAAAGACUUCGAGUGAAAAGGGAGAUCUCUCCUAUUCAACAAUCAGACAUAAGAAAACAAAAUAUAGCUAUGCAUCAAAUGGUUAGAUAUUGAGUUAUGGAAAGAGUAUGAUUUAUAAGGGCCAGAAACUAGAGAAAGUAAGCCUACCAAAACUCCUUUCCUAACAUUACCAAGUGGACCUCGGUACUUUUCAUACUCUGCAGGGACCAAAUAUACAAAUGUUAUCAACUAGAGAAUGGAACAGAUACGGGAGUACAAAAGCUGCAUACUCAGGAAAGCACGGUGCAUGAAUCCUGUUCCACGGGUGUCGCUGCUAAACACACAUCUGUAUCCAACCAAACCUCUGUAGAAAGCAAGUAUCAUUUUGUUAAGUUUCUUCAGUGAGUAAAAUUUUAUGUAAGUAUAAUAAAAGGAACUGUAAGUCACUAAACCAACCUUGAAGGACAAGUUAAUGACAGUCUGGUCCUACCAUCAUUUCCAGGGACAGGACACAUGUCAAUAACUUCAGCGCGCCUAUGGGAGAGAGAUUCUAUCACUAAUCCUACGUGCUCCUCAUUAAUCUCAAUAGUCACCUCUUCAAUUGGCUCAAGCCUUUGUUUAUCUUCAGUUUUGUACCUAUAUCACAUAAGUAGAAACUCUCAAAAUUAAAUCAUAAGAUAGCAGCAAGUUCAGCCCUCUCGCACGGCACUAGCAACAUAAAAUAGCAACUACAACUGUAUCUCCAACUCUAGCUAAAUAGCUCAUAUAGUAUGUGAUGCAACAAUCAUCGAAAAAAGAUGGAAACUCACAUGACUUUAGGUGGUGAGACGGAGAGCUCAAAACCUUCCCGUCUCAUAUUCUCAAUCAAGAUACCUAUUAGACACAAUGAAAGAUUACUUCACCUUGCACGGAGAAAUCGAUACAGUUUCAUGUUUAUUUUCCAUCAUUACAGGUGAAGAAACACUUGACAAAAAAGUGGAAAAGCACAAACCAAGUUGAAGUUCUCCUCUUCCUUGGACUUCAAAUGACUCUGACAAGCCUGGAAUAACGUUUAUGGCAAGAUUUGUUUCAGCUUCUGCCAUUAGCCGGUCCCCAAUUUUCCCUCCGGUUAACUGCCACCAUAUUAGCAGACCAGAGGUAAAUAUGAGGCUGCUUCAAGUUUAGAGCCAGAGUACAAUGGCUAUAGCUACGUCUUAAAAAUCAAAACAUACUUGUGUGCCAUCACGACCAGCCAGAGGAGAGUCAUUGACACCAAACGUCAUAGAUAUUGUUGGUGGAUCCAGCUCAACUGAAGGGAGCGCCGUUGUGACCUGUAAUACCGAAAAAAAGAGGUAGCCAUUGGCCAUUGAGAAGUUUUGUUGAAUUCAAAAUUUACUUCUGUAUUUUCUAAAAAAUAAAUAGGGGCGUAGUCUAUUUGGAUAUUACCUCUGCACUAGCCACAGUGUGACCUAUUGAUGGAGUUGUCAAACCAGCCAUACAGAUUAUAUCACCAGCCCCAGCAGCAUCAAUUGAAACAAUGGUCGUGCCUUUCUUUUUCAUUAGCUUCACAACCUGUGAGAAAAGAUGUCUGUAUCUGCUUUUGAUAAGACCAGGGCUGACAAAGCAUUUAACCAAUGUAAAGACAAACCUUUGCUUCUUCUAUUUUCUCAGAGGCUGAAUCAGUAUUGCGUAGUCCAAUGACUUUGUCUCCAACACGGACAACUCCAGAAGAUACUCUUCCAGUUAAUAUUCGUCCUAGAUAGUAGUCCUUUUCCAUCAUUGAAACCUGGUAACUCAGAAGCGAAAAGGCUAGUAAAAUUAGUUGCAUGUACAAUAUUGGCCACCCAAGUCCAGAAGUUUUUAAUUACCAGCAUCAGAAAAGGCGCAUCAAGGUCUGCUUUUGGUGGGGGAACAUGUUUAACUACAGCAUCAAGCAACUGUGACAUUUUCCUCGCAUCUGCAGGAGGCUCUUUGGUGAAGGUAGAAGAUGCCCACCCUUCUUUUGCCGAGGCAUAAAGCACAGGGAAGUCUAGUUGUUCCUCUAGCAAAAGAGAGAAGACAUAAAUAAUAAUUUAGUCAACAAAAAAAAUUAGUAAUCAUUUGUAAGUAAAUAAGAAACUGAUAAAAUUAAUUACCAGUAGCACCAAGAUUUGCAAAAAGAUCAAACACCAAACUCUCCACUUCAUCACACCUCUCUUCUGAUACUGGCAUUGGAAAAAAAAAAGAUGAGAAAACCUGAAGUUUUAACCAAAAGCAAAAGUGAAUGAAGAUUCAUACCUGAAGGUCGAUCAACUUUGUUUAAGAGAAGAAUAGGGCGUAGACCAUACUUCAAGGCCUUAGCAAGAACAAACUUUGUCUGUGCAAGAGGGCCUUCUCCAGCAUCAACAACUAAUAUAGCUCCUUCAACCAUACCAACGACUCGUUCCACCUACAUUCCAAAUAUACCAUAUAUAGUCACAAAGAUCUCACCUUAUAUUCUACUCCACGGAAUGUACUAAUGCUGGAGGACAACUCAUGCUUAAUUUUCAGGAUAACAAAUUGAACAUCUAUAUCUCAUGUAUCUUAUGUGCACUUAGCCACAAAGUAAAUGAGAUCAUACGCCAGCUAGUAACUUAAUCUCAGGGGUAUAUUAACAAAGCCUAAAUUUCCAAACAGUACAUUAGCUCUCUUGGUUCUUGGAUCUGGAAAAAGCUGCUGAAGUAUAGAGCUCUGGCCAGAUCUUAUGUUAAAAUCGAAAUAGGAAGUGGCUCCACUACUUCUUUCUGGUUCGAUGAGUGGUCUCCCUUGGGGAGGAUAAUGGAUCUCACACAAAUGCAAGGUUGCAUUGCGCUUGGGAUUAACCUCAACGCCACUGUGGAGUUUGUUAUUCAGCACUACAGAAGCCGCCAUUAUAACGAAACAGAACAGGAUGCAGCAUUAGCAAAGGAUCAAACGCGCAAAGACCACAUAAAUGUUCUAACUAUGAAUAACUAAACCAAUAAAGAAACAGAACAUGUAUAUAUAUAUCAUAAAUAGAAAGGUUCUCACGUCCAGCCCCGGAGACACAAAGAGAGUCCCACGAGCUUCCAAACCCAUCAGUGAAUGAGCUGUAAUAGUUCCAUAUCCCAUCGAAACCUGUGUCAUCAAGAAAUAUAAAUUUCAAAUAUAACUUAAUAAUGCAGGCACGACUUUUAGGAAACAAAGACUUCGAGUGAAAAGGGAGAUCUCUCCUAUUCAACAAUCAGACAUAAGAAAACAAAAUAUAGCUAUGCAUCAAAUGGUUAGAUAUUGAGUUAUGGAAAGAGUAUGAUUUAUAAGGGCCAGAAACUAGAGAAAGUAAGCCUACCAAAACUCCUUUCCUAACAUUACCAAGUGGACCUCGGUACUUUUCAUACUCUGCAGGGACCAAAUAUACAAAUGUUAUCAACUAGAGAAUGGAACAGAUACGGGAGUACAAAAGCUGCAUACUCAGGAAAGCACGGUGCAUGAAUCCUGUUCCACGGGUGUCGCUGCUAAACACACAUCUGUAUCCAACCAAACCUCUGUAGAAAGCAAGUAUCAUUUUGUUAAGUUUCUUCAGUGAGUAAAAUUUUAUGUAAGUAUAAUAAAAGGAACUGUAAGUCACUAAACCAACCUUGAAGGACAAGUUAAUGACAGUCUGGUCCUACCAUCAUUUCCAGGGACAGGACACAUGUCAAUAACUUCAGCGCGCCUAUGGGAGAGAGAUUCUAUCACUAAUCCUACGUGCUCCUCAUUAAUCUCAAUAGUCACCUCUUCAAUUGGCUCAAGCCUUUGUUUAUCUUCAGUUUUGUACCUAUAUCACAUAAGUAGAAACUCUCAAAAUUAAAUCAUAAGAUAGCAGCAAGUUCAGCCCUCUCGCACGGCACUAGCAACAUAAAAUAGCAACUACAACUGUAUCUCCAACUCUAGCUAAAUAGCUCAUAUAGUAUGUGAUGCAACAAUCAUCGAAAAAAGAUGGAAACUCACAUGACUUUAGGUGGUGAGACGGAGAGCUCAAAACCUUCCCGUCUCAUAUUCUCAAUCAAGAUACCUAUUAGACACAAUGAAAGAUUACUUCACCUUGCACGGAGAAAUCGAUACAGUUUCAUGUUUAUUUUCCAUCAUUACAGGUGAAGAAACACUUGACAAAAAAGUGGAAAAGCACAAACCAAGUUGAAGUUCUCCUCUUCCUUGGACUUCAAAUGACUCUGACAAGCCUGGAAUAACGUUUAUGGCAAGAUUUGUUUCAGCUUCUGCCAUUAGCCGGUCCCCAAUUUUCCCUCCGGUUAACUGCCACCAUAUUAGCAGACCAGAGGUAAAUAUGAGGCUGCUUCAAGUUUAGAGCCAGAGUACAAUGGCUAUAGCUACGUCUUAAAAAUCAAAACAUACUUGUGUGCCAUCACGACCAGCCAGAGGAGAGUCAUUGACACCAAACGUCAUAGAUAUUGUUGGUGGAUCCAGCUCAACUGAAGGGAGCGCCGUUGUGACCUGUAAUACCGAAAAAAAGAGGUAGCCAUUGGCCAUUGAGAAGUUUUGUUGAAUUCAAAAUUUACUUCUGUAUUUUCUAAAAAAUAAAUAGGGGCGUAGUCUAUUUGGAUAUUACCUCUGCACUAGCCACAGUGUGACCUAUUGAUGGAGUUGUCAAACCAGCCAUACAGAUUAUAUCACCAGCCCCAGCAGCAUCAAUUGAAACAAUGGUCGUGCCUUUCUUUUUCAUUAGCUUCACAACCUGUGAGAAAAGAUGUCUGUAUCUGCUUUUGAUAAGACCAGGGCUGACAAAGCAUUUAACCAAUGUAAAGACAAACCUUUGCUUCUUCUAUUUUCUCAGAGGCUGAAUCAGUAUUGCGUAGUCCAAUGACUUUGUCUCCAACACGGACAACUCCAGAAGAUACUCUUCCAGUUAAUAUUCGUCCUAGAUAGUAGUCCUUUUCCAUCAUUGAAACCUGGUAACUCAGAAGCGAAAAGGCUAGUAAAAUUAGUUGCAUGUACAAUAUUGGCCACCCAAGUCCAGAAGUUUUUAAUUACCAGCAUCAGAAAAGGCGCAUCAAGGUCUGCUUUUGGUGGGGGAACAUGUUUAACUACAGCAUCAAGCAACUGUGACAUUUUCCUCGCAUCUGCAGGAGGCUCUUUGGUGAAGGUAGAAGAUGCCCACCCUUCUUUUGCCGAGGCAUAAAGCACAGGGAAGUCUAGUUGUUCCUCUAGCAAAAGAGAGAAGACAUAAAUAAUAAUUUAGUCAACAAAAAAAAUUAGUAAUCAUUUGUAAGUAAAUAAGAAACUGAUAAAAUUAAUUACCAGUAGCACCAAGAUUUGCAAAAAGAUCAAACACCAAACUCUCCACUUCAUCACACCUCUCUUCUGAUACUGGCAUUGGAAAAAAAAAAGAUGAGAAAACCUGAAGUUUUAACCAAAAGCAAAAGUGAAUGAAGAUUCAUACCUGAAGGUCGAUCAACUUUGUUUAAGAGAAGAAUAGGGCGUAGACCAUACUUCAAGGCCUUAGCAAGAACAAACUUUGUCUGUGCAAGAGGGCCUUCUCCAGCAUCAACAACUAAUAUAGCUCCUUCAACCAUACCAACGACUCGUUCCACCUACAUUCCAAAUAUACCAUAUAUAGUCACAAAGAUCUCACCUUAUAUUCUACUCCACGGAAUGUACUAAUGCUGGAGGACAACUCAUGCUUAAUUUUCAGGAUAACAAAUUGAACAUCUAUAUCUCAUGUAUCUUAUGUGCACUUAGCCACAAAGUAAAUGAGAUCAUACGCCAGCUAGUAACUUAAUCUCAGGGGUAUAUUAACAAAGCCUAAAUUUCCAAACAGUACAUUAGCUCUCUUGGUUCUUGGAUCUGGAAAAAGCUGCUGAAGUAUAGAGCUCUGGCCAGAUCUUAUGUUAAAAUCGAAAUAGGAAGUGGCUCCACUACUUCUUUCUGGUUCGAUGAGUGGUCUCCCUUGGGGAGGAUAAUGGAUCUCACACAAAUGCAAGGUUGCAUUGCGCUUGGGAUUAACCUCAACGCCACCGUGGAGUUUGUUAUUCAGCACUACAGAAGCCGCCAUUACAGAGCAGAACACUUGAUCACUAUUGACAAGGAGAUACUGCGGUUGAGAGCACGGGGGCUCACGGAUGAAGACGAUGUGGUUCAGUGGAGAGGAUCAGACGAUGUGUUUCGACCUUGUUUUGAUACACACCAAACUUGGAACUCUACUCGAGUGCAUCAGUCGAAGGUUCAGUGGUAUAAGGGUCUCUGGUUUGCCGGAUCAACCCCAAAGUACUCUGUUAUGUCUUGGAUUGCAGUACACAAUCGUCUGGCAACAGGAGAUAGGCUGCUGCAGUGGAACUCUCAAGCUAAUGCUCAGUGUAUUCUCUGCAAUGCUGCGGUUGAAUCAAGAAACCACCUGUUUUUUAGCUGCUCCUUCACGGAGACUAUUUGGAGGAACCUCACAAGGAAGCUUCUGGGACAGCACUACUCCCACAUAUGGGAUCAAGUUGUUGAUCUUAUCUCGACGCACACUGUCUCAGGGAUAUCAAGGUUCCUGCUAAGAUAUGUGUUUCAAGUUUCCGUCUACACUAUUUGGCUUGAGAGAAAUGGUAGAAGACACGGCACGGUACAGAGACCUCCGAGCCUUCUUAUCAAGUUCAUCGACAAGCAGAUAAGAAACCGCAUAAGUUCACUCCAGGGACGACCCGAGACAGCUUUCAACAAAGCGAUGGCAGAUUGGUUUUCAUCUAGAGACUAGAUGGUUUCUAUUUCACAAACUAUUUUGUUUCAAAAGAAUCACACAAGCUUAAACUAAAGCUGCAUUAGUUUGUACAAAAGCCUUUUUGAUUUGAAUAAAUUUAACAUUCUUUCAAAAAAAAAAAAAAUCUGUUAGUUCUUGAAGUGUCUUAAAUCUCUGUACAUUAGUAAAAAAAUCUGUUGGGUCCGGAAAUUACUUUGUCUAGAAUAAGGAUGUUUUUCAAAGGGAAAGGAGUAAGAGAUUGUAAAUUUAUUCAUUCACAUGAUCCAUAUACAGACCCUAAACGGGUACUUGGCUCGAUUCGUUUUUACUAAGUCUUUUUUUUUUUUGCUUUCUUCAAAGUUGAUUCGCGUAUACAUGAGAAUCAAUAAAACGCUAGAAGUAACAACUUAUACAGAGAUCAGACACAAACCUCCCCACCAAAAUCUGCGUGACCAGGUGUGUCUACCAUGUUAAGCUCGUUUUCUUUCCAAAACACGGAUGUCACCUGUCGGAAAAAUUCACAUAAAAGAACUUCAGCUGUUAUGUUUCAUAGUAUUAAAAAAAAAAAACAUAACUGAAAGCCGCUUUUACAGACAAAAGAACAGAACAGAAACGGAAAAAAAAAAAAAAAAAAGUCUUCGGCUUUGUUAGUCUUAGUCUUAUAUUAUACCGAACCAUUUUUUCAAAGAGUGAAGUAACCGCUUAGCUCUAGUUCCACGAAAAGGCGAUACCUUUGAGGAAAUAGUGAUGCCACGCUCACGCUCGAGGUUGAUUGAAUCCAUGGCGCGCUCGUGUGGGAUGUCGGCUCCACACUGACGGAGAAGCCGGUCCAUGAGGGUGGUCUUCCCGUGAUCGACAUGAGCAAUCACAGCCACGUUCCGGAGUCUAUUAGGAUCGAGGGAGCUGUUAGGAGGAGCUCCGGUGGCAGCAGAGAAGGCUCGCAAGGGAGAGAGAGGUGAUGACUGAGAAGAGAAGGAUCUUCUUCGAGUGGUGUUUGACCAAAGAGAUCGAAGCAGAGGCCCCGCCAUCCCCUCUGAACGCGAAAUAGUUUUACCAAAUCUCAGCUGUUACAAGACAAAGGGUUUAUCUCUUUUGAUGUUAUUUGAAAAUUCAGAUACGAACUCUUUUAAAUUCUCAUAAUUUUCCGUAAGUUUUCAAUUGGCUCUAGAUUUUAACCGAACCAGCCUAACCGAAAUUUUUGGUUUUCGUUCAGUUUCAGUUUUUAGACUGGUUUAGUUUGGAAAGUUUUUGAAGAUAUUUUGACUUUUUAGUUUGGUUUUUCGUUUGUUCUGUUUUAAAAUCAAAAAUCCAAUAAUAUUCUUAUUGUAUACUUUUUUCUAGGCCUUCUCUAUAAAACUAAAACCUUCUCUAUAUUUUAGAUAGAAAAAUUUAUGCCACCAAAAAAUAGAAAUAGAAGUAAUUCCAACAAACUGAUAUAUAGGAAAGACGAAUUAGAGUUGACUCAACUAGAUGCUACCAAUGCAUUGGCGAUAGUGUGGUUCCUCAUUUGGAUCUUAGCUAAACAAUCCUAAUCUGGAUGCUAUAGUUUCUACUGAUUAGAAUUGAUAAGAUUUUGCUUUAUUUCUAUUCGCUGUUACUAUUUAUUUGGUUUAUUAGGUAAAGUAUUUAUUUUAGUUUUGGAUUUUAUAAGCAUAUAGAUGAUUAUUUUAAGUUAGAAUUAAGUUAAUUUUGGUUUUCAAAUUAAUGUAUUCAAUUUUAGUUUUUUUUUUUAAACAAAAGCCUUAUAGCCUUUUUAGGGCCGAGCCAGAUUUUGAAAUAUAAACACAAAAUUUUUGAAGACAGGAUCAGCUCAGGCUUAAAUAGCAAUGGGUUUUGUGGGUUUUGGGCCAGGCCGGAUCGGGCAGCCCGAUUGACACCCCUAGCUCUACUACCACUCUUGUUCAUAAAUAUGUAUUCACUUCCACAACAAUCAAAAACUUUACAUUCUACUCAAACACUUUCACUUGGCUAUUGGCUACUCUCCCACCUAACCAUUUGAAUCACAAACCAUGAGAUACAAGAUCACAAAAGUGUGUGAUUUCAUCACACAACCAAGAACAAAUUCACCCACAUAGACAAAUGCGCUAACUUCCCUUACUUUCAUCCUCCCAAAAUUCUAAUACCUUAUUUCUGAGCAUAAACCAUGGAUUGAUGGUUCAUAUUAGAACACAACAAACCUUGUAAUUUUUGGGACUCUACAAAACUACUUUAAAGUCACUUUCAUCCUACAUGGCAAAGAAAAUAUAUCUCCAAAUUCUCUUUACAUUAUAACUAAUCUUAUAACUAAAAGCUUCUUUCUACUCACUCACUUAAGAGGGCAAUUAGGUACUCUACAAAAUGUCCCUCCAGCCAAAAAUAUGUUAAGUGAUAUUUUGAAACUCAGUUAUGUGCUAAGAGUGUCAUACUGUCAUCAACUCUCGGAGCUAAACUAGUUUGUGUUUUAUUCUGUAAAACUGCAUGUUACGUGUGAAUUAUGAAUUAUUCAACAUUUUAAAGGUCUGUCUGUUUGAUCCCAUAAGCUAUGGUAACUUGGCCUAUGUAUUUUUCUUUUUGGUUGAGAUCGCCAGUGCAGUUGUGUUAUCGCAAAUUUUCCUUUCCAAAAUCAAAUAUUAUUUUUAAAUGAUGUGUAUGGUGUUCAACUUAAAUUUGUUUUCUCCAAACGGCACUAUAUAUUUAUUGCGAAAACAUAUUGCCAAUACUUUUGUGAUUUGUGAUGUAUUGGUGACAUAUACAGAUUUAAACUUAAAAUUAUCUAUCAAAAAAAUCAAAAAAAAAAAAAUAAAGAUAUUUUUUUUUCAUUUUCUUUGGUAUAAGCUAUUGAAAUAAUAAAGUUUGCGACUUACAACAGACAAUAGUGUCAAUAAAGGAAAUCAAACGCUUAUAAUGGUUCUUACUCCAUUUUCGAAACCCCGAGUCAUCAAAUGACUUCUCUUAACAAGAGUUGCAAAAAAGUGCGACAUGGUCUCAUUGGUAUGUGUUGCGCAGUGUCUUAUCAAAUUUUCCCACUCUUAUCAACAUUAAAAAAAAUCAAGACAUGCAUCGAGUUACCUAUAUUUUAGAAAGUCUAUCUUUUGUCGGCUCAAAGUCUUGACAAUGAAUAAGAGUAGACCAAAAGUGGCUCCCUAAGUGUUCAGGUUCAAUAAUAUAUCCCACAAUUUGCAUACUGGAUUGAUCUGGUCUCUUGAGUUUGUAGGGGCCAAAACUAGAGAACGUGUGAGAUAUUGUCACUUCGAUUUUGAAUAAGGUUUAAGAUUGCUUUCAGAUUGUUUGUAACAAUGUCAAACUAUUAUAUUUAACAUAACUAUAUAAUUUUAUGAAACUAAAUCUGUUGUGUAUUUUAUCUAAGAUUUUAUUAAUAUUUUAUUUUCAAUAUAAAUAUUUCGUGUAGCUAUUGAUUGGGAAUGAUUCAGCAAAAAACAGGAUGAAAUUUCAUGUGUGGAUUAUUUCCGAACUCCAAACUAGUUCAUUGGCCACAAAAUCUAGUAUUUGAAAUGGAACUAAAGUUUGAAAGAUUAUGGAUUUCAGUAAUCCGAAGAUAAACCAAACAAAGUAAAUUAAGAAAAUUCAGUUGCUUAUUUGUUUGAAACUUUUGAUAAUUAAACUUUAAGAUAAGUCUGAAUCAGAUAAGAUCUUCAUUUAUUUUGCUAUAAUUCGUUUUGUGUAAAAGAUUUGUUAGAAUUCGUGUCAUCAGCUGAUGAUAUAUAUUAAUGGUGUCUCCAGAUUCCAUGGUCGGUCUUAACUACUAAUUUCAGGACCUAAUUAGUAAAUUGCACUUAUCUAUAUAGAUAGCUAGAUCAUAUAAACUACUGGAUGUCAAGCUUGAUUAUUUGACCCCGCGUGCAAAGUCAUCAGCUGAUACUGAAGAGUCAUUCAUAGUUGAAACAAACCUACACAAGAUCAGCCUACUGCCUACAGUCCACAUAAAUACUCUUAAAAUUUUUCAAACCUUACAACUAAUGACUCUAACUGGAACUAUUAAAAAGUAAUAUUUGUUACUUAUGUUUUUUUUGAAAUUGAUAAAAACUAAAUUGUUAUAAAAAAUCCUUAAAUAUAAGAAAAUGACAUGAAAAUAGGUAAAGAUAUUAUUCUUUGUAAAUGGUGUAUAUAAAAAUUCAAAGUUAGUAAUUCUGUAAAUCCAUCACUUUAUUAUUUAUCAAGUCUCUAAAAUAUGUAAUUCAUUUUUAAAAAUUUUAGCAAUAUACAAAAUUAGGAGUUAUAUAUAAUGCUCCCUUUGUUCCUGUAUAAGAUUUUUAGGUUAAAACACGCAUAUUAAGAAAAUCAUUGUUUUGUCUAAAAAAUAUCAUUAAAACUAUAAAUUAAUGUUAAUCAACCAAUUACAAAAUAGAUUAUUAAAUAUAAUUGAUUACACAGUAUUUAAUAAAGUAAAAAAUUACCUACAAAAAUAAAAAUAUCUUAUAUAUUGGAACAACAAAAUUCUUUAAAACAUCGUACAUUUAGGAAUACAGGGAGUUUGACGUAGAAGUCUCGGACCAAAAUUCACAUUAAUUCGAAUGAUCUAUGAUGAACCAGAAAUUCUUGAUAUAAAGAUAUGUUCGGUGUUCGACCAAAAAGAUAAGUCAGUGACAAACCAUACGUUUAUUCAGUGUGACAAAACUCAACUUUGAUCCUCUAAUUUCAAGAUAAAUCUUUCAGCUGUUAGUUAAAAUUCAUCAUACUCUUUUUUUUCCUUUUCUAAAUAAAUCGCUUACGGUCUAAUCACUCGUGCAGCCUUAUCUAUUACAACUCAAUGGUGCUAUCAAAUAACAAUGUUUGUAACUAUCUUUGAAUUAUUCCUAGACCUUAAUGUAUUAAGCGGAGACACAUCGCCGGUGUGGGUCCCCGUUUAAUCGUCACUGCCGAAAAGACAAUAUUUAAGUUAAAAUAAAAGAAAGGAAAACAUGAAAGGCGCACGUGGCCACUAGAUUUUGCCCCCUGAAUCAUGAUUCUUCGAGUCACAUGAACAUCACAUUAACUCUUUAAGAGAGUUUAACCGUUUGUUUUAACGCCAUCUGAUUUCGCUUUAUCAAUAAAGUUUUUUUGGUGUAACGCUCUAUCAAUAGUUAUGGUUCUAUUCAUAAAGUAUCAUUAUAUUAGUUGGAGCAUAGAGAUAGAUGUUAUGUAAAGUAUCUAUAUUUGGCGCCGUCAUUGCACGAUGUAACGUAUCUUCUUAAUUUAUUAUGCAUCCAUUCUCUUGACAUUUAUAUAAUAUAUAUAUGUGGUGAUAACUGAUAAGUGAUAACCGCGGUUUGUCCCCAUUAACAGACGGCUAGCUAUUUUAAGUUUUCGGAGAUCAGCUGUACUGAUCACGUUAGACCAGUUGUAGGUUAGCCGGUAAAGUAUCUUUUUAGUUAUGUAUUUUUUAACUAUGUUGUUUACGAUCUUAAUAACCGGGUCACAUAAGAGUUAUCUUCUUGUGAUUAAAAUUUUGUAUGUACCAAGGCUUUUCUCGAGUGAGGACAUGACCUUUUGAUGUCAAAAAGAAACCUUCAAACUAAAAUUGUAAGAAAAAACUAUCAACCAACACACAGUAAUAAAAAUAUCGUCACAUUCAUUUUAGUACCCAAGAAAUUAUUUAACAUUAAAAGUUAUCAACAAAAGAUUUGUUAACAAAAUUAACUACAUAUUUCUUAGUAUAUUAAUCAUCAAAAUUGUAAACUAUAAUUCAUUGGAUGAAUGAUGUCGUGUUUGAAUCAUCGAAGUUUGGAAAAAGCGCGUUCAUUUACCAAGUGAAUUGUGGUCUGUAUUUUUCAAAUCAAAAUAUAAUGUUCAUAAAAUAGGAGAUGUUUGUAAACAUUAAAUUAACAAUACUUAUAGAUGAUUAACAUAUAAUGUUCUUAAUAUAUUAAUAUAUUCAUCUUUAAACCUUCAACCUAAAAUUGAAUGACCUUUUGAUGUCAAGAAAGACAUUCAACCUAAAAUUGUAAGAAAAAACUAUCGACCAACACUCACUCAGUAAUAAAAAUAUCUCACAUUCAUUUUAGUACACAAAUAAAUAUUUAACACUAAAAAUUCUCAACAAAAGAUUUGUUAACAAAAUUAACUAUAUAUUUCUUAUAUUAUAUCAUCAAAAUCGUAAACUAUAAUUCAUUGGAUGAAUGAUGUCGUGUGUGCAUCAUCGGAGUUUGGAAAAAGCGAGUGUAUCGUUGUAUGAAUUGUGCUCUGUAUUUUUCAAAUAAAAAUAUAAUGUUCUUAAAAUAUGAGAUUUUGUAAAUAUUGAAUUAAGAAUAUUGAUACAAGAUUAAUUUGUUGCAAAUUUUUAAUUGAGAUGUUUAUAUUACAAAUAUAGUUCAGAAAUUUUAAAUACUUUAAAUAAAUAAAUAUUGAGAAUUUGCAUCCAAUAACCAAACAAAAACCCAAAAUUAACUAACUAACCAAUUUUACACUCUCUCUUAUUUUCUCUUCCUAUCUCUCUCUACCCUCUCUCUACAAAACUAAUUUUCUUUUUUUUUUGGUUAUUUCACAAAUAACCCCUUAAAUAAAUAUUGAGAAUUUUUUUUUGUUAACAUUGUAUAGUUAAAGUGUUUUCCAUUAGAGUUUUAAUUGAAAAUUCUAAAAUAGAUUUGCUGAUGUUUUACUAUUUCUACUGGUAUCUGAUAUCGGGUCUUAUAUCUAUAACAUUUGUAACUUCUUCUUAUAAGUAACAUUUGCACUUAUUCAUUCAUAUAGUUAACUAAAAACGUAAUUCAAAGAAAAUUUGAAUCGUUUUUUCUCUCUUCUACCUUUAUAACUCAUCUGAAUUUCACUUGAAUUCAUAAUACGGAAAUACCCUAUGAUAACACUAAAAAAAAAUUAUGUUACAAAUAUAGACUCUAAAAAUUAAAAUGACCAAAAUGUUUUAUUAAAAAGGUAAAUAUACACUUAUACUCGUAGGGUUAACUAAUCCAAACCUUAGGAUUUAGAGUUAAUGGGUGGGGGAUUUGAGAUUAAAAUUUAAAAUUUAAAAUUUUAUAAAUUAAAAAAUAAAUAUUAAAAAUUUGAAAAUAAAAUUUUUAAAAAUAGUUUCAAAAAGUAUUUUCAAAUUACAAAAAGAAAAUUUGAAUUAAAAAAUAAAAAAAAUUCGAAAAAAAUAAAAAAAAAAUUUAAAAAAGUUGGAAUUUGAAAACAUAUAAUCUAUACUAUAUAAAAAAUAUUUUUUUUAUAUAUCUAGGGUAUCAAGAUCAUUUUACCUAUUAAAUGAAAUAUUUUGAUCAUUUUCCUCCUUGUGGUCUAUUUUUGUGAUCAAAUUUUGAAAAUUGUCUAUUUAGUAGAAUUGUCCUUCGUAAUAUAUAUGGUAUAGUUUUGCAAACUAGAAAAAGCGGAUCAAAAACUGUAUUACCUCACCAAACUUUUUGUUUAGAGUCUACAUGCAUUCUAUUUUAAAUUACAAUAUAUAUACAAAAGUUAGUUAUUUUUAUCAGAAGUUAAAAGGUGAUUAAAACUAAAUAAUGGAAUCUAGUACUAAGGUGCCUUCUUAGGUUUUGGAAGGACAAAUAAAGUUUUGAAGGGGCAUUGUCACUUUCAUGCAUAUGCUUUACUUUUCUUAAUCACAAAAAGUUAUUCUUAUCACAUUAAAAUUUACGGAUACUAAUGAUGGAAAUAAUAAAAAAAUAUCAUCAAGAAAAUGUAGCACUUUGAAUCAUAAAACAUACCUCAAAAGUGAGAUGGUAACCUAAGAUGUCAUAUGUGCACUGGAUGGACCUGAAUUAAAAUUUCACUCACACAAAUAUCAAUUUCUUUUCACCAGUAGCACUUUGAUCUUAGCUCAACAUUAAAUUUAAGUCUGGCACUUAUAUUAUGGCCUUGUAUAAUACACAAAUAAUUCUUUCAGUUUCCUAGUAGGAGCUAACGACUGAUGGUCAUACAUACAUACCAUAACAAAUAUAUUUGUCCACCAGUUCAUACAUUUUCUCGUUUUAUUAUAAAUAUAUAUAAAUGUUAUGUAUUUUAAAAUACUUUUUAAUUAACGAAAGCACACACUUAGAUCAGAGUUAUGUUAACUUGGUUUUAUGAAGGAUUUUACUGCAAAUAAUCUUUUGACAUGAAUUAAUCAAUCACUACGUCUACGUGACACUUGGUUGAAUCUUGAACUGGUCAAAAAUCGUAUUUAAUCUCACGGUUUGGUUCUCAAAAUAUAUAUAUAUAUAUAUAUCACGGCUGAAAGUGGAAACCCAAACCAAAGAGUGGAGAAGACUGAUCGUCACAACUCACAGGCUCGCAGCAAUAUUUCUGCUAGUUGAAAGUAAACAUAUGUGUUGUGGACUUCAUUUUUAUCUUUCUGCUAGUUGAAAGAAUUCAACUAUCAACAAUUCAUGUAGUAUUUUUUUUUUUUCAACAGCUUCAUUGGAAGCAUUCAACAGUUGAGAAAAUAAUAAUUCAAAAAGCUCUUUGUAAAUGCUGUAAGAGAAUAGUCAAAUAGAAUUUAAGGGUAUCAAAUUUACUGACUUGUAAUCUAGUCAUGCAGCUAUAUUGGCUUUUCUCCAGCACCAUCUUAAACUAUUUUAUGAUUGUUGACAUAAUUCUUCUCGGAUUAUUCUGUUGUGUUACAUUAAAAUAAUCCACACAUACUUUUGUCGCCGUUGGUUACUUUAUCUUUAUCAGUUAUAAAAUUAAUGUUUAUAACCGAAUAAAAGUACCCGCCUAAGAGGAGAGAGAUAGUAGAUCUAGGUUUCCGGCGAACGGCCGGCGCGUAUGCGCGCGUGCCGUCGCCGGAGACUCUCGUGUUGCCGUCCGCUCUUUUGUGUCCGUGUCUCUCCGUCGUCCUAUCCCGGCUUGCCUUGCCUGAGCUCUGGUUAUUUCCACGUCCGGUUGGCGCUAUCUCGUUAAGUGAAACGACAUCUACGGUGGUUGGAAGACUGGUGGGAAGGCGCGGUCGUCUGGAGGCGGAAGUCCUUUUCCGGGGGAUGAAGGCUACCAAAGCUCCAUCGUCGCCGGCUCAUGUCUCCGGGGGGUGGCUUGGCUUCUUCAGCAACGCCUCGUCGGUCUUGUCUCCGGGAGGCACAGGCUUCCAUAGCCUUGUGUCGUCGGAUCUAGUGGAAUUAAGUGGUGGUCCGCCCAAGGUUCGGGUCGGGAUGAAGGGUUUGUGUGUGGUUACUCGCGGCUCUCUGAAGACGGAGGAGAUCUCGAAGAAGAUCGAGGAUGCUCUCCGCGGAGAGGUAAGAAGGUUUGAAGGAAAGUGGUUUCGGUGGUGGCUCUAUGGUUCGAGCGUCGGCGAAACGAUGGUGACGACGCUCAAGAGAAAAAGAGCGGUGGUUCUCGGCUUGCCUGUCUAGGGUUUGAUGUGAUUCAAAGUCGGAGGAGAUCUCUUUGGUUAGAUGGAUCUCUCCGCCGUGAAGAUAGAGCGGUGAAGAACGGUGAGGUUUUCGUCGGAGGCUUGUCGGUAUUUGAGCUCCGGCGAAGAGAGGGUUGUCGGUGAAAAGUCCCGGCGGUCUUGGGUCUCGGUCGCGAUCAAGUCGAGGCGGGCGACGCGUGUCUCUCUGAUGUUCCAGAUCUCUACACGUGGCUCGAUCCCCUGCCUCCUUGUCUCGCGUAUCGGGCAAGCUGCCCGGUUUCCUUUAUGUGGGCCGUAGGCCUUUUUCAUGUCUUUUGGGCUUCGGCAGUAAAUCUUGUAACCCAUGUUUCCUUUGGGCUUUUUGUGUUAGGUUUUUUUUGUUUUGUGGGCUUGGCCCUGUUUUUAAUAAUAUAACAAUUUGGGAAAAAAAAAAAAACCGAAUAAAAGUGAAAGUGGAUAAACUUUGUUGGGACCUACUGAGCAUGUGAAUAUAAGUCGGUCCGACAUAAUAUUCCAUGUGGACAAUACGUAUAUUUGUCGACCUUUUGACCUUCAAUUAUUAUAGUAUAUCAUUUGUUUUACUUCAAAAUUAACUCUUUUUUUUUUGAAACUGUACUUCCAAAUUAACUUUUAUUUUUCCAUUUUAGUAAAAGGAAGUGAAAGCAUUUUUAUAUUUCCAUAAGUAAACUACAAGAAUGCAUAGAAACACCAAAAUUAGUUGGCAGAAAAGUUUCAUUAUUAGAAAUUCAAUCAGUACACCAACUGAGUCAGACUCGAUAAAUAUUCUUUUCGCAAAUAAACCCUUAGGUCCAUAGCUUAUAUUACAUUGAUGAAACAUGAAAAUAAAAGGUUACAACACCAUAUACAUGUUUUUUUUAACAACCAUAUACAUGUGUUGGACACGAACAGAGAUCAAAUGGGUUUUAGAUAAUUUGUCGGCCAAGUUAACUGAAAGAAAAAAUAAUACCUCCCACAUUUUGUCACUUGUAUUCUUUUUCGACGUGAUCCGGCAGAAUAAAUGUUUCUUAGUCACUCUUUUACAUGGCUUUUUGCUGUUCAACGUAUAGUCUCUAUUAUGAGAACUUACCAGCAAUUUCAGAUAUUCAUAGUCUCUAUUUUGCUGUUCAACGUAUAGUCUUUUUGCUGUUCCACGCAUAUGUGAGGAAAUCUACAACAAGAUAGUAAGAGAAGAACAUCAUCUUGCUUCUGCUCGAGCUCGUGAUCAACAAGAAACAGUUAGGUUUCUUGUUUGUCGUGAUAACCAAACAGUGUAUGUUGAGGGUACUCGUCAUUUACAACAAACUGUCUCUGAAACAACCAACAACUCAGAAACGCAACAUAGAACGGAGAACAUGAUUCUUAGGCGUUGUAUGCUCUGCUCUCACUCUGGAAGAAUAGGUCAUAUGAUAAGUGUAGCGUAAUAAACACUCAAUAUUUUUUUCUUUUCAAAAUAGCAUUACCUAAGGGUAACUUAAUUGAAUUAUAAACUUUAAGGUAAUAUUAUGUAUUCUUACACAGACGAUUAAAAAAUUAUUUUAAGUGUUUUUGAAUAAUUUCCAUUAAUUAUUUUCCGCGUAAACCGCGAUCCAUCGGGAAAUAGAAAAAAAAAUUGACUUCCGUUGGGAAUCUAUCAUGAACACGAAAAAGAUCUGAAAAGUGAAAUUUUCGACAGGGGAAUUUUUAAUACAUAUUUACCCCAAAAUUUUAUUAGUGUAUAUAUCUCUCUAAGAACAUGCAAAAUGCCUCUCUCUCUCUCUCUCUCUCUCUCUCUCUCUCUCUCUCUCUCUCUCUCUCUCUCUCUCUCUCUCUCUCUCUCUCUCUCUCUCUCUCUCUCUCCUUAAAUCAUUCCAAAUUAUGUAAAUUUCAUUUUAAUAGAGAUUGUUAGACAAAAACUUUGUUAGGUUGUUGGUUUAAGUGACUUGGAAGUUAGUUUUAAAGAUUUCAAAUUUAGAUUUAAGAUUGAAUCGUAGUUUAAGAUUUUUGUUGCUUGUGUUUGAUUUUGUUAGUUCUAAGAAAGAUAUUUAUUGUUAGUGUAAAUAUUUAUCAGUUAAAAUUUUUUUUUUGUUUAUCAAAUUUUAAAAAUGUUUUUCAAUAUAAACUUUUUGUAUAUUUUCUAUUAAUUAUGGUAUUUUUUAAAUUAUUUUUCCAAACGUUUUACUGUAUAUAAAUGUUAACUUUAUAACAAGAACUUAUUAUGUUAAAAAUGUUUAAAACUAUUUUUUAUAAUUUUCUACAAGUUAGUAAUAAUAUAUUAGAAACGUUUUUCCUUUUUAAGUAUAUUUUUAUAUUUUAAAAGAUUGAUUUUAUUGUUAAGUUUACCAGUUAGCAAUAGUAUAUUAAAAAAAAACAUUUUUCAAAUGUUCUUAACUUGCUUUUUAAUAUUUCAGUUAUUACAAUAUAUUUUUUAUACUUUCAAAUAUUUUUUAAAAAAUAUUUAAAAUAUUUUUACUUCUUACUAAAAACAGUUAAAAAAUUUCUUAUUAAAAGCAUAUUUAUAAUUUGUUAGUUUAGGAUUUUUUUAUAGAUUAAGAAUAUAGACUAUAAUUAUUUUGAAAUUUUUUUAUAUAAACUCUAUUUUCGGUAUAUUUUAUUAACAAUAUUACUAUUUUAUUUUAUUUUAAAUAAAUGGAAAAAUGUAUUUAUUUUUUGUGAAUUUUCAAAAUUUUCUACGAAAAAAUUCUCAGAAAUACUUCUGGCACACUAAAUUCAUUAGAAAUUUAUUUUAAAAAAAUUUAACGAAUUCCGGGCGAAAAAAAUUACUGACUGUAAUUGUUCGUCAGGAACCAUCAAAUUUUUUUUUUUGCAGAAUUCCCAACUAAUUUUUUUUUCGACGCCCUAAUCCUAAAAUGUUCUCCGUCGAAAACCGGCAGUUUCUUGUAAUAUCUGGACUAGUUGACAUUUAUUAUGUUAUCCUAGUGAACCUUAUGUCUAACAUUUAUUAGUUCUAUAUGUUAACCAUACCUAUAUCGGUACAUGUAAAGUAAAUUCCUAAUGGCCCUUGAAAUAUAGAUUCUCAUUCCUUUUAUUGUGUUACAUCAGUUGAAUAACCCAAAAAAUUAUCGUAAUUAGUGUCUUUUGCGUGUGCGUGCAUGAGUUUUAUAAUCCAAAAUUUUUGAGUCGGAUUUGGCUUUCAUUUUAUUGUGGAUCCCAUCGUGUUCUCUCCACUGACCCAACCUACUCAGUCCUUAACAUGUUCUCAUAUUUUGUGUCUCAUUAUCUAUAAAUAGAAAUAUCUCACUGCAACAAGUCAUCAUAUCUCUCUCAAGUCUCAACUUCAACUCAUUUUGCAAUUUCCCUCUUUCUCUUUCUCUUUCACAAUCUCUUACAAACCCCACAAGCUACCUUUCUUCUCCUUAAUCACCUGUUAUGGCGAAUUUAAUCCUUAAGCGAACUCUUAUCAUGCUCCUAAUCAUAUUUUCAUCACCAAUCUCUCAGGCUCGAAUCCUUCAGGCAGAUCGCGUCGCAAACAUGGGAAAUAUAGAUAGUCAGGUUCUCCUACGUGAGCUCGGGUUUGAUCUCUCCAAGUUCAAAGGUUAUAACGACGAGAGGAGGUUUUUAGUGGAUUCGGACAGGGUUUCACCGGGAGGACCGGACCCGCAACAUCACUGAAUGGCCGUUACGGAAAUGAUACUUUAACGGCGAUCCAAGCACAAAUAAUUGUGACUGGUCUAUGCAAGUCAUUGGAUAUCACUACUUAUAUGCUUUUUUUCUCUUUUUAACUUAAUAAAUCUUACGUACAGUUUUGUUGUAUCAAGGUAAUAGUAUUCUCGUACCUAGCUCCUUACAAUACAUCGAACUUUGUUUUCCUGUAUGUUUUCCUGUGUCUACAAUGAGUUACAUUUUAUGUAACUACAAUUGGCUUAUAAAGAAUGUUCCCCGGUCUUUUCUCGUUUGAGUUUUACUUUUUCAUUUAUAGGGAAAAACGAAAGGUAGAUGAGUUUUAGAAUAAUAAUGAUUGUAAUUAGCACUUCGAAAUGCGUAUGAUCAAAAUAAUACUUUUAAUGAUUUGAUGGUCAAACUAUUCAUUUAAAAAAAUAUAAUAUAUUAACAAAACUGCAAUAACCAGUGUAAGGAAAAUUUUUUAAGCUUACUCAAAUGAUAUUAUGUGAUAUUAAUGAUUCAAGAGAAACGCCAGAAAAUCAUGUAUUUAUUGAUUUAAUAGCAUACCUAAUGUAAAAUAUUAUAUUUUUUUUCUAAAAUAAAGUUAUAUGGAAACGGUUUUGCUCCAAAACCCUACUCUAUUUUGGAAUAGAAAAUAAAGUAACGAACAAACAAAAUGCAUAUUCUAUUUAUGUAGUAAACUUAUCUUUUAUUUCAUUAUGGAGUAGAAAGUAAAAUGCGGUAAAACAUUUUUUUUAUCACAAACACUAUUUAAAAAAAAAAUAUAAGAGCAUGUACAAUUUUUUCUAAAAAUAUAUAUAUAUAUAUAGUGAGACUGAAAAUGCUUUAAAUGGCUUUAUAAGAGCAUGUACUAUUUGUAUUACAUUAUUUUCAUCCUACUAUAUAAUGUCGAGCUUUGAGUUUUACAUGAUACUGGAUACAUUCCUUUAGCUAAUGUGAAAUUUAUUUGGUGAAUACAUAUUUUAAGGUUUCACAAAUGAAUGUUUGCGUAUAAGAAGUGCUGUCAUCAACUACAUAUUUCUAUUUGUAUAAAGUAACCGAUAAUAAACAAGACUAUUACAUUAUGGAAACAGUUUAGUGCACUCUUAAAAUAUAGAGUUUCGCCGACAUCAACUACAGUGUUGGAAAUUUGAGAGGUUCAAUUUUUUUAUUUUUUUUUUUUUUUUUGAGAGGUUCAAAUUGUAAGACUAUGAACUUAAUAAAUUGACAUAUGCUCUAACAAAAAUAUUAUUCUCGACGCGCGCAUAUAUGUAUUAUGUUGACUUCAUUUAAAAACGUACUUAUUUAUCAAUUGUUGAUAUAUAUUCUCGACUUGACAUCCUCGACUUGACAUUCUCAUAUCAGUCGAGGAACUUACUUUCACCCGUUGAAACCUUGGAAUAUUAAUGCUUCGUGACCUAUAUAUGACGACAAGUUUACAAUCUUUUAUGUUCGUUUGUUUUCCUUUUGCGACAACUGAGGACUUUUUUGCUGUCCACUUGCAAACUUCUUGCACAUAUUGUUGUACGGUGAUGGUAUCUUGAAUUGUUGUAUGCAGUCGGUGCAAAUACUGUCAGAUUUGUGAUAAGUGAGAGCUCCUCCUUUCUCUUUUGCUCUUUGAUUUUUAUAAUAUUUUUUGUUGUUGUUGUAUCGUACAUGAGAAUAUUACUGAUUAAAAAAAUGUUAUCCUCCCUUUCAGGUCUUAUGAAGCUAAACAGAGGCGUGAAGACAUGAAGACAUCCUGUUAAUUUCAAUGAUACACGUACAUUAUAAACCGAUGUCGAAAUAUAUUGAAAUAUAUUGAAAUUUUUUUGUAAUGCUCAGGUUUAAUUAUUAAAAUAUGAUAUUUUUACUAAUUAGAGUUACAUUUCUCAAAUAUAUUGUUUUAAAUAUAAACAAAAGUAGGUUAAAUUUAUAUUUUCACAUACACAACAAUUCUGAAAACUCAUUAAAAUUUGCUAAAAAUAAACGUAGUUAUUAUUAUAAAUUAGAGUUAUAAACCCGCGCUCAGUAUAUAUAUAUUUUUAAAUAUAAUCCAUUAGAGAUUCAAAGUAAUCCUUUGCUUUAUGAUCCAUUAAAUAUAAUCCUUAGGUUUAUGAUUCAUCAAAAAAAUUACACCAGUAUUAUAUAAUAUUAAACCUUUUCAGAUUAGAUGUCGUUCUAAUUUUUUCACAUUAAUUAAGAAAAAUGUUAAAUGUUCCGUUUAGUCGUUUACCCCUAUUUAGUUAUUUAAAAUUUAUUAAUUCUUUUCUACUAUUAUGUAAGGAUUAAACAAAAUUAACACAUAUUAAUUUGAAAGCAUACAACCUCACUCACACCACAUCUAAUUUUUCAUGCGGUUGACCUCUGGUAAUCAUUUCCUCGCACACAUCAUUUAGUAAAGCAAACAACACUUACACAUAUGAGUUCCAAAGCAAAUCUAACACACUACCAAUAAGAGCUAAACCAUAUUUUCCCCAAACAUCUUAACAACCAUAAACAUUAUUAUACAUUUUUUUUUCAUAUCCUAACAUAAAACACAUGCAAAGAAAACAUACAAUAAUAUAGACAUAUACAUCAUAUGUAAAUCAUAUCCCGCCCGUAGGGCGGGCCGAUCCUAGUGGUAAGUAAGAAAAAUUUAAGGUGAGUGUAUUGAAUAUAUUUAAAAAGUUGAUUUUUGAACUUAAACUUCAAAAAUGUGUUCUUAGUCUAGUGGUUCAUUUAGGAGGAAAAUAAUUUCAUGCAGACAAUCCGGGUUAUCCCCUUGAUACCGGCCACAUUUUUUUCUCAAAAAAAAAAAAGAUUUCUCAAAACUUCCAGCUAAUCUUAAUAUAUAUUUACACAUAAACAAACUUUCAGCUUACAUAAAAAAUAUAAUGGAUGUUAAACAUAUAUAUUAAAAUAGCAUAUUUUGUAUUUUAGAAAAUAAAAAUUUUAAAGAUUAUUAAACAAGAUAAUUUAGAAUAUGAAUAUUAAUAAUAACAGUUAAUCCUAAUAAUUUUAUUUUGUUGAAGAUAUUUGUCUAAUAAAUUCCUGAAAAAUUAACAUACGACAUAUACAAAAUUUACUUACAUAAUAUUAUAGAUUUUGUUUUAAAAGAAUGUUAAAUUUAUUCAAAUAAAAAAAGGCUUUUGUACAAACUAAUGCAACUAAGAUCUAGUUUGUGAAAUUUUUGAAGCCAAAAACAGCACUAAUGUCUAUUCUCUAGCUUCAAACCAAAAACCAUAAAAUUAUAGAUUUGUUUUGUUAUGCCAGCAUUUUAAAACGGGACAAUGAAACGGUUGUUAGACAUCUUAAGGUUUUAUGACAUAAUUGUUGAAGCUAUGUUUCACUAUUGGGAAAGCAUAUUAGAAAUUGUCGUUCUUUCAGAAAAUGGGCCUGCCUGAUACUUGCCAUUCUUUAUAUUGAGUGCAUCUGAAAAUAUGAAAUGGGCCUUGCUCACGUUGCUUCCAGGGCAACAUGAUUGUUUAUCCAAUUAGUAAACCUACUUCAAUAACCCACAAAAGUCCACAACAACGAUACUCACUAGCACAGUCUUGUUUAUUGUUAGAAUUUACUGUUCUAGCUCAGGCUGUGCUGCACAGCAUUGUGUUUGUGGAGACAUGGAUUUUUGAAUCUCCCCAAUAACCUCAUAAACACCCACCAAAACUUUGAAGGUUAUAAAUACGACUCUAUGGGGUUGUAAUUUAUUCACUCACACAAUGGCCAAUGCAUAUCCUUGUUACUUGUGCGUGACUAUACUAGUGGAGAUCGUAUUAGGGUUGAUCAAAGCUCCAAUUCAUGUUAUGGAGUGGUUCACAUCCACGAUACCUUGUUGAUCUUCUUCUUCCUCUUUUUCCAUGUACAUAAAUAAUCAUCUUCUCUCGAUUUGGUGCUUCAGACGUUAUUUGUUUGAGAAUACGUAACAUUCUCUUGUUCUUUUACUGCUUCAAAAGGAUUUUGUGAAUGUUAAUUAAACAUGUAUUAUAGAUAUAUUCAUAGUAAUUCGCAUUCGUCCUUUUCUUCUUCUUGAUCAUUCUUUGCCAUAUCUCCAUUAAGAAUCCAUGUCCCAUCAUUCGCUUGAACCAUACCUCUGUUCUCAAGAACCCACCAAUGCCCAGGCACUAAGUACUUAUCUUGAAGAGCAUCUAAUUCCUUGUUGACCAGCGCGAUAUCACGGUUAAUCUCCAGCUUGAACUCCGCUUGGUUGUGUUGUGUCCCCGCCACGCCGUGCAAGUAAGCCUCCAGGUUAUGGAAAUGUGCCAAGUUUAGAGACCGUUUCAAGUACUCUGAUUUCAACGUGUUGAUCUCAAGCUCCUCCCCUACAUCUGUGAACCUGAACACCGGGUAAUGCGGAAUGAGAUCCGGAACAUUUGUAAUUCUCAAGAUGUUGAGUUUUUUUAGAGACUCGACCAGUCUUCUGAAGUUAAGGUCACCGAUGCGGGGACUGCCGAAAGCAAAAACCGUGACACAAGAAAGCCUGUCUCCAAGACUUGUUGUGGUCUUAGGCCAUUCGUUAUGGAGAAAGUCUGUGGCUGAUAAAAUAGAUAGAACUGCGCCCAAGCUAUGGCCUGUAAAGGUGAUACUAAUCUCUUCAUGUUUGUACAAUUCUAGUAACCUUUUGAGCUCUCCUUGAACCUAAAAACCAAAAAAAAACAACCAACCAGUCGCAACAAUCCCAAAGUCUGAAUGUGAAGUUAGUAAGGGAAAAUGUUUUAUUGAGAGACACCUGUUCUUGUGCACUGGUCUUGUCAAAACGUGAGUGUGUAUUAGAGGUUGUGUAAAGAGACAGCCAACCAUUGGCAAUGCGAGGAGGGUCAUUUGGAUCAUUCGGGUCAGUAGGAGGGAAAACCGAGGUAGCUAAUUCAAGUGGAAAAUCAAAAUCGUUAGCCCAUUCGUACAACUGCAUAGUCCCUCGCCAUGCUACAACAAUGUCUCUUCUCCCUAACAACUCCUUGCCUUCGUCUGUAGACACCGCAGUGUAACCUAACCAGUUAGAAUCUUUGUUCCAUGCUUCCCUUGACAAUGAGUUGAUUAAGAAACAUUCCGGUAACCUUAUCGACGAUGUUCCAUAUAUGUACUUAGUCACCUCGUACCUGGAGAUACCAUUUUCUCACAUGUUUUAUAUAGUGGUGGGCACAGAAACUAAACCAAAAUUUCUCAAACUAAAACCAUAUUAUCAAAGCCUGUCAUAAGCAUAACAAAAUGAAACAUUAGUUUUUGAACAUCAUUAACGGGGAGUAUUAUAUAAUCAGGGCCGACUUAGUAGGAAUUAAGGGCGUAGAGUGCAACCAUCCUAGGAUCCACUCCAAAUCUAGUAAUAUUUGGGGUCUUGAUUCUUUACAUUAGCAUGUUUUGUAUAUAUUUGGAGAAUAUUAAAACAUGACAUUAUUAAUUGUAAGUUGAAAUAUCAAAUAGAAAUGUGUUUUUUACAGAUGCUUGAGUCAAAAAUCUCAAAAAACAUAAAUUAAAAACUAACUAUAGGGCUCUGAAAUAUUUUUUUUCCGAGGGAAGUGGAACUAUUGAGCCGGCCCUGCAUAUAAGUAGAUAUAUCGGCUACCUGAAAGGGUUGGCUUUGAGGUAGCCGGUACGAGCAAAGAGCUCUUCCUUAGUGUAGCAGCUGUCUCCUACAUAUUUGGACCGGCGGUCACUAUUAAAGGUAACGUAUCCGACCUCAGCCAUGUCUCCAUAGUGGAGGAUGUAACGGCGUAGAUCCAAGUCAAGAGGAUCAAGUAGGUCUUUCCAUUUGCUAUUGCCGCUCAAUUCCUUCCAUCUCUUAGCAAUAUCUCCCACCAUUUUCACUUUUAUUUUGAUCCAAACCGAACGUCCUCCUCUUCCUUUCUGUUGCCUUGUAGAAUUUGUUGGUGUUUUCAAAAUGUUUGGAUAGUUUAUGCGUGAAGUAUUGGUCCUUAAUACAUGCUCUUCACAUAAGUUUUGCCGGCCUUUUGUUAAAGAUUUUAAAGUAUGGACGUUAUAAUAGGUUGGAUGAGAUAUUAAUAUACAAAUUUGUGGAGAAAUUAAGCCCAAAAUGUAAUUAGUAUAAAUAUUAAUUACACUUAAAGAUAAAAAUCUGAAUCACAAUCACAAGAACUCCACAAAUUAUUUAUUGAAUUGUAUAAAAAUCAAUAUGUAGAACGAGAACUAUGAAGUAAGAGAUGCGUAGAGAAGUAAGUUCCAAGUGUCAGGGAGACCAGGGAGACACCAAUGGCUACAGUCUAGACCCUUUGCGAUACCAUUAUAGAGACUUGGGUGUGCGUCUUUGCGAUACUCCGAGAGAGUUGUGAGAUCAAGAAGACGGACCGGUUUCUUGAUUCGGCUCAACACUUUGUUCACCACAACCCAACCUAAGGGCAAUCCUCCUGGAUAUCUUUCUCCCAUGAACGGCUGAGUCUGGCCCUUGCACGACUGCGAUGGUUCGUUCCACUGCCUUCCACUGUUUUGAAACACAGUUAGUAUUUUGAAUUUAUGCUUUAAAAGUCAUCAGCUAUCAUUGCAAAACAUUUUUAUUAUUUUGAGUCUCAUCUAUGUAAGGUACCGUUAAUUUUAGAUGGAUGGAGAGAGAAAAGAAAACUUACUCGUAGUGAACAGGAGAAACACCUUGAAAGAAGACUUGAGUGCGUGAAGGGUUAAUGUUACCGUUAAUCCAUCGAGCCCAUGUGUUUAGUCCUUUGUAAAAAGCCACAAGCCUGUUCAUGUCUUUGUACAAGGUGUUUCCUUCCCUCAUAUAAUCCCACCUACCAACCAUUAUUGUACAUUUAACUAAUUAUAACAAGCAUCUUAUAAAACACUUGAAGAAUAUUGUCAAAAGAGAAAGAAAGAGAGAGGUUUUAAAGGGUCAAGUAAUGUGAACGUACGGCUGGAUUCCGUCAGUGUGAGUCCACCAGUGCCAUGAGUUAAAGAUCAGAACGUCCAUGCCAAGCCAAGCAUUGGCUUGUUUCAUGGAGUCAAGUACAAGCACUCGUCCUGCCUUUUCUUGAACCACAUCUACUAGAAACUGUGUUCUGUACAGAAGUAUUGUCACUCCAUAAUCCUGCCCAUUUUUUUCGUUUAAUCAGUUAGCGAUAAUACAAGACUGUUAGUAUUUGUAACAUCAAAUGAAGCUAUUAAUUUGUUCUAUGUUAAAAAGAUAUGGAAUUCUUGGACACUUGAUUUUAUCUACUUGUUAAAAGAUGUCAUUAUGUCAAAGAUCAAAUUUAUGUAACCGUUAUUAGUUUUACGCAAAUUGACCACCUGUAUACAUAUUUUCUUUGUAGAGACCAUUAUGCAGACGUAUGUUAGCUUAACUCUUUCUAUACCAUCAUUUAAAUUAAAUAUAGGUUUAUUUAAAUUAGGUAGCCAAACAAUCACUACUAUCAUGGGUUUUCUACCUUGCAAGAGCAUGUCAAACACGUAUAUAUUCAAAUAUUUGAGCGAGGCAUUCGUAGAAAAAAAAAGAUAGAACUUCGUAUUUGUAUCCUAACAUUGAUACUGAAAAAUGAAGAAAUACUACCAAUCAAAUUAUGUAAAAUUGAAAUAUCACUUCUUAAACAUGUAUAUUCUUAUAUUUUCUUGAAGUAAAAGAGAGAAAGACACGUAAACCUAAUGAAGAACUUCAGAAGAAGCUAGAGAUCGAAGUCAGACCCAACGCAGACAGACUUGUCACUGUUAGCUACUGUGUAGUCGUGUAGACAUGUAUAUGGAGAGAUCCCAAAAAACAAUUAAUAGUGCGUAAAAGUAAUUAAUUAAAUUCGUGAAGGCCCACUUACUAAUUUAUUAUACACUGUGUGAUUAGAAAACGACAAUGAAGAAAGAAGACUUUGACCUAAAGUGGUUAUCAAAAUCAUAUUGUACAUGGUGUCUUAAUGAAACAAUCUGUCGUUUGUGUUUGGUUCUACAUCUAUUAGAUGUUUCUUUAAAGAUUGGUUAAUAACUACGUACGACUUAUGUCAGAAUGGUCCAUAUUUCAAUUCUCGUAACCUAUACUUGUCUUGACCACAAAUAUAUUAUCCUUACAAUUUGCAAGAAUAAUGAAACUAUACAGGAUUAUCUUAAGCAACCAAUUGCUUAAAAAUAAAAGAUGAGAGUUUGAGAAGAUAUAUUAUAGAUGGUGACGAUGCAAAAAAAAAAAAAAAAAAAAAAAAAAAAAAAAAAAAAAACAUUAAUGUAAAAUAUGUCAUUAAUUAAUCUCUUUAUUUCCAAAUUUUUAGUAUUACAUGACAAGUGUCUGUCGAAUCCCAAACUUAAAGGAAACUAAUAUAGUUACGUAACUGAUCUCAUUUGACAUCGCACUAUAUAUCAUGCACGACUUGUUCUUUUUUUUUUCUUUCACGUUCACGUUCUCGGAAAUAACUGAAUGUCGAGAAAAUUAAUAUUUACAGGUUUCAUAUUGGAGUUUAAUCACCAAAAUCAUUUGUGGACAAUUUAAAUAAUUAUCCCAAUAAUUAGGUCUUACAAAACAAAGUAUCUCCAAAUGUUAGCAAAAAAAAAAACAAAGUAUCAAUGUCUGAUAGUUAUUAUUUUUUGGGAAUAUAUAUCAACUGUAGAAAAGUUUAGUCAAGUUGGUAUAUGGUUUACUACUUUUCUAUGUGUUUCGUUGGUACUGAAUUGAUGUUUAAGAUUAAUCGAUGAACAUUUCCAUAAAAGUACAAUUUUAAGUUUUUAACCUAAAAAUUAAUGAAUAAUUUAGAUUAAUAUAAUCAAUUAUAAGAUAUUCUGCACAGUAUUAAAAAAAAAACUCCUCCCUAAAAUAUCAGAUGAGACUUCAGAACUCAAAAUAACCCUUUCUAUCAUUGACUUUAGUCAAUAAUUUUAUGUAAAAAAUAACUAUGCAUUGUUGUCAUCAAUUCACUUAUAGAAAAGUAACAAAUAUUUCUGACUAGGUUGAGGGUAAAACACCAGAAAAUUAAAGCAGGACAUUUGUCGAUGACUGUUAUAUCAACAACUAUUUUCCUACAAAUGAAUAAUUUAAGUAGGGUUAUACUUUCUAGUGGUGUUAGGUGUACAUGAUAAAGCUAAGGAUCUUUUGUAAAUCAAGAAAGAAUGACCAAAAAUAUCAAAGAAUCUUCAGUAGCUCAAUAAAACGUUUACUUUAAAGUGAAGUUAUUGAGAUGUGAAUAGGUAACAAAAUAAGAGAAUAAGAAAACGAAUAAAUAAAUCAAAACCUGGAAAGUGAGUGAAGUGAGAGGCUGGCUUCGACUGAGAGAGUACUUAGCAUUAGGAAGAGAUGCAUGAAUCAAACAUGCCAACGAUUCAAACAUGUUGAGACUCAGUGAGUCACCAACCAUCAUUAUCUUCUUCCCUCUCAUUCUCCUCAUAAAGUUCACCCCAUCGAAUCUGUAAAUUCAUUUGAUUCCUAAUGUAUUUGUUAAUUUCUCAAGAUAAACUAGUGUCGUAUAAACUUUAAAAAUACAUUUUGCUUAGGAAAAUACAAGAUAUUAUAGUUUUCUGUAUAUCAAUUUUCACUAUACUUAGUCAAAACAAAACAAAAUUUUCACUAUACACAUAUUUUGUAGCUACUACUAAUUUCACAUAAGAAACUUUUUGGGACAUGAUAGACUUAUUUUAUGCAACAUGAGUUUUUUUUUCCUUUUCAAAUGAAUACAUACUCUUUGCCUCUUAAACAAAACUUGUUAAUUUGUCAAUUGUGAAACACCAGUAAACGUUUGUGUUUACAUAUUGCAAAAGUAUUUUAUAGAACAAAACAAAAAGAAGUUUUAUAUUUUAAAAGCAAACACAAAAGCUAGCCUUUUAACACAUGUGAAACUACUGUACCUGGGAAGAGAACAUGAGAAAGGUUGCCAUCGGAAGUGUUGAUAGUUAGUGUCUGGUCGACCCGUUUUCUGGCAAUUGAAUUCAGGGUUGAUGAAGGGACAAGAAAAAGGACUAUAGAGAGGAUAUGAAGAAUCAUAGACCCAUUUGCCUCUAAACCAAUUGCAUGAUCUCUCUUCUCCCAAUAAGCUUGUGUUGUUUUGUCCCAAAAAAUGUUGUUGAGAUUGUGAUAAUAGCUCAGGGAGUGAAGAGAGGAGUAUGAGAAACAGAGAGGCUAAGAUGGGUUGGAAGCAGAGUCCCAUUCUCUUUUGCGGUCGCCAAGAAAGAAUGAGCAACUUAUUCUUCAAGCCUCAAGCUUUAUAUAGAUAAAAUAAAAGUAUUUAUCUCUACAAUUAUUUUCUUGUUUACCUUUCUUGUUUAAUUUUGUGUACAUAAACAUAUAUAUUUCAGUCGUAGACAAUCAUUAGGCUUAAGAUAUACUUUAAGACCUAAUAAAGAUCGCUUGAAAUUAAAUCCAACCAGUAUAGAAGCUGAACCAGACUUUUUGUAAAGCCAGUAGUCAACAUAUGACAAACAGAAUUAAACCAAAUCGCAUUUUCUCAGACGAUAGUUUUGACAAUAAUUAAAUUAUAAUUAAAAUAAUAAAUUUAAAUAGAAUAAUAGUAAACACUAACGCCUGAAAAGUAAUAUAUAUUUAGCAAGUAUAAAAAUAUUUUUUAGCAAGAAAACAAGUAUAAAAUAGUCAAAAAUAAUAAAAGUUUUAAAAUAAUAAAAAUAAGAACACCAUANNNNNNNNNNNNNNNNNNNNNNNNNNNNNNNNNNNNNNNNNNNNNNNNNNNNNNNNNNNNNNNNNNNNAAGAACACCAUAAUUGAUAAGAAACACGUAAAUGUUUUUACUAUAAAAAUAAUAUUUUUUAGAAUUUAAUUUUAUAUUAUACCAAUAAUAAAAAAACAUUAAUGCAUAACAAAUUACUCAAAUAAUUUAAAACUGUAGUUUUUAUUUGAAAUACUCAUCUCAUUUUUAGUUUUCUUAAUAAUGAGAACUUUAUUGAGAAAGGUUAAUGCGGAUGCUCUUAUUGUCACCAGACUCACUACAGAGACCCGUAUCGGUUGUUGGAAAAAGUUUAGUUUUCUAUCGAGGGAUUCGUUAUUUCACAUCAAUCAUGUUUCACAUUUUCUUAAACGUUUAAAAAUCUAUUUAACGGUAUAUAUUUAAUCUGCGCAGCCAUUGGUGAACAUGCAUGUUGUUGAAAAUGAAAAGACAAGGAUGAUGUAUAUAUGUAGUUGCAAUUGCACAUGCUAUGAUGGGUUUUAGGGUGCCUUGCUUUGCCAACUCGACCACCACUUACUCUCAAAACUUAAUCAACUUUUCAUAUUUAUUUCUUUAUAACUAAGCUUUAUUUAUCUGAUGAUUUACGUAAUUCAUUGGAGCUAACUGUUUCAAUUUUUGACUAGUUAUACAAAUAAAAGUAGAAAUAAAGGAACAAACAUGCCUAUUUUUGUAAGCAUCAAUUCCAUAAUGACUCACCUAAACUAAUUCAAAGUGUUAAUGAUUAUACCUUCAUUAGCAAGCUGUGAUUAACACAAGAAACUCCCAAAAAAAGCAAUUAUUCAUUCAUCAACAAGUUCAAUAAUUACUUCAACCGCCAAGUUAUUAGUUUUCAUAAAUAUUAAAAAAAAAUGCUUCUGUUUCUUGCCAACCUAUAAAAAACAAGAUACCCAAUAUGUAAAUAAAUAAUACAUUAGCACAACAAGUCUAGGCUGACGAUACUUUUAGGAGCUUGCCGGAUUCUGAACUCUUACAAAAUAAUUUAAGAAAGUGACUAUAGUUUCCUGUUUGAGGAGAUAUACGGCUGAGAUUGUCCCAAACAUUUUGGAUUACAAUUAAAAAAACAUCAAAAUAAAAUUUUAGGAAAUGAAGUGGAGUGGUCCUUCUUAUGGAACAAAUUGGAAAUAUAAAAUAGACCAAACAAGCAAACAAUUAUUACACAACCACCAUGGGAAAGAAUUUCUCCCACAAACAUGUGUACUUGAAAUCAUACAAAGUUUUGUCCAAAGAAAAAAAAAAUCAUACAAAGUUAAAAACAUCUUAUGUAGAUAAGAGCCCUAUUGAUUAUGUAACCAGAGGAAGCUUUUAGGCUCAUGCUUCUUAUGUUUGCUUACACAUUCUUUAAUUAUAAAGAGAGUUCCUCCUACAAACAUUUGCACUUGAAAUCAUACACAGAAAGUUAAUAACAAUCUUAUAAAGAUAAGAGCCUUUUUUUUUUUUUUUUUUUGUCACAGAAAGAUAAGAGCCUUAUUCAUUAUGAAACCAGAGGAAGCUUUUAAGUUGCUUCUUAUGUUUUACUUAUGUACAUUCUUUAUUUACAAAGAGAUGGUGCUUAAUUACGUAUAUUAUAUGUGUAACAUUUUAUAGAAGCUCCCAUUCAGAUUCUUCUGCUGAUUGGUUUUCCUCAAUCCGUUCCGGAUUGUCACCACAUUCUCUACCAUUUACAACAUCUUCAGCGUAGCAUUGUUGCGCAAGUCGCUUGUAUUCUUUUUCUCUGUUUUGCUUCAUUCUUGAAAAUAUAGCGUCUCGGAUCUUCUGUAGGACCAGUUUGUCAUAAGGGUGUUGUUAAUUUCAGCAUAGUGAUAAAUGCAAAUAAGAAACAAAGAAAAGGGAGUGAAAGAGACAAAGAACCUUGUAAGGUUUGUGUUUGUCAUUCUCCUUCCUGUCAGGAAAAACACAAUGCAAUUCGUCUCUAUCCACAAUGAUACAGCUUUCUUCAACUGAUCUUCCACUAAGCUGUUCUGGGACAGAACUCGAACUAGUUUGCAUCGAAUCCUCCUCUUUAGAGUUGAGUGUUGCUACUUCACCUCGAGGAGAAUCACUUGACUUUACAGUUCCAACAUCAUUUCUGAGACGAGUAUUAUGAACCGUUGAUGGACUAGUCGAGUCUGCAUCAAGACCACGCAAUUUCAUUUCACAUCCACUCUUUUCCCCCUCAGUUACCUCUUGUUCUUGCUUCACAUCUCUGUUUUUCCCGCUGAAGCUUUCUCUUUUCUUCUUGAAGGAACAAACAGGAGCGUAUUCAUGUAACAUAGAAACAGGUAAUGGCUUUUCCGAAACUACGGAGUCAUCUGGAAGCAGAUCUUGAACCACAUCCGAAUAGAAUUGCUUCAUAGAGUUUCCAACAGUUUGAACUUGGCUCUCAACGUAUUUAGCUGUGUCCUACAAAAAAACACAUCAAGAAGCAAAGCAAAGAGUUAAAGAAAAGAUAUACAAUUGCUUAUACAAUUAUAGAGCACUUUACCUGGACAAUAAGAUCUUCAAGCUCUAAGCACAUUGCUUCAAACCUUUGGUAGACGUUUUCAACCCAUGCUGUACCUUUAAAAUUCAUUGUUCUCUCAAUUCAAGAACGUUCUUGUUUGCUUUCUGUCCCAGGAAAGAGUUCCAACGAAAAGAAAAUUCAGAGAGACAACAAGAAAAAAAGAUCUUACCACAUCAAAUCUUUAGGUAGAGAAACAGGUUUGAAAGACAACAGAAACAUGUAUAUGUAAGAAUUAUAAAAUAUUCCUUUGGUACAUUAUCUCAGAAGAAGAGAACAAGGCUAAUGAAUGCAACUUGUAAGCAAAGCCUUCUCUGCAUAGGUGUUUCCAGUAAAUGAAUGAUUACCCCCAAAUCCUAGGAGCAUUUUAGAAGCUUUGUUCCUUGUUAAACAAAAGAUCUGUGUGGCUACAGAAACAAGCUAUCUUUCUGUAUCCACAUGUUCUUCUAUAUUUCACUAAUAAGUAAACAAAACCAUGUCUUUAAUCACCAGAAAUAGAAAGUUCAAACUUGUCAAUGAUCAUGUGGACAUAUAAGCUCAAGAGAGACUACUACUUUAUUUUUAUUUUUUAUCAGGAGCUUUCUUGUAAAACAGAAAAAUCUUUGUGACUGUAGAAACAAGCUAUCCCUCUGUACUGUAUCCACAUGUUUCCUUUAUUUAAUCACCGGAAAAUUUGUAAAAGCCAGAAAUAGAAAGUUCAACGCCAAAGUUACCAUGUGACAAAAUCUCAAGAGAGACUACUUUUUUUUUAUUCAGGAAACGUAAACUCAAGGUUAUCUAGAUCAUAAAACUAACACAGCUCAUUGCUUCAUAACGAUCAUCAACUAGGUCUUCAAUUAAUUAGCAAAAGAACUGAACAUGUAUACGGAAGAGUUAAGGUUGGAGCAAGAGAAGCAUACCUUCGUGAACUUGGCAACCUAAAACGUGUUAAAAAGAGAAAUUCGCGACGAAGAAGAAAUCACGUGAAGAAGAAGAAGAACACUAAAACCUGGAAUCAAUCAGAAACUGAAAACUAAACACAGAGAAGAAUAAUGUUAAGGAUAAGAGAGCGAGAGACGGAUCAUUAACCUCAAAGCUACGUAUACCUACAAGGGAUCAAAUCCAAUUCUGUUUUCUCACUCGAUUGAGAGAUUUUGUCAUAUUAUAGCGAUAACGCAAGCAAUGUCCAAAACUCAAAAACUUUUAUCACAGGAACUCCCGUUCCCGGUUUGGUUUUUUUUUUUGUUGGGCCCAGAGACUGCGUUGACAAUUAAUUAUUUUUACAAAAAUUAUAAGGGAAACAGUGAAACAUCUGUUUUUUUUUUCUAUCUCAACACUUGAGCACGCAGGUUGGGAUAGUAACCAGCAGAAAAGUUGGUUCAAAAAGAAAAAAAAAAACAGCAGAAAAGUAAGUGAAAAGUUUUCAACCUGAUUAGUUGAAUAUUGGCUGAAGCAAGAGUAAAUAUGUUUUCCACCAAAUAUAUAUCACCAUCCAUUUGUGACGUUCAAUCAAAGCCUUCCGGUUUGGGUGGGGAGGGGGUUUGGCCAACCCGGUUUAGGGAGUUUUUAGUUUCAGAAUUUCUAAACUAGAAAAGAUAUCUUUGAUUUAGGGGUGAAAAGUGGUUUAGAAAUAUAAAGAGGUUUCAGUUUAAGUGAAAUUCUUUUCUUUUCUUUUUUUUCUGACAGGCGACAAGUAUCAAAUAUCAUAUAGAUCAUGGCACUAAAUGAUGAAAUACAUAAAUUCGUUAGGGAUCCUAACCGGUUUGAUUAAUGGGCCGUCUUGCACAGAUCGUACUUCCUAGGGACUAAUUAAUAAUUUAGUAAAACAUAGCGCGAAUACCUGCAAUAGAUAAAAAAACCUAGGGAUCAUUUUGAAAUUAUUCUUUAAAAUAUUUUGGGUUCAGAUUUCGUUUCAACGCAUCCUAAAAAACUUUAUUUUUUUAUGAAAACGGCAGUCACAGCCUCGUAGGGUUAUUGCUGUUCGUCCUCCUCCUAUCGACUGCGGCGGCGACGAGGCCGAGAAAACCGACACUGCGGCGGAGAAGCCAUCUUUCAAAACCCUUACAUUUCAAUUUUGAUUUACCAAGUGUCGGUGAUGGCCUCAAUCUCGACAUGGUUCAGAUACAUGGCACACAAGCUCGAAUACUCCCUCACCCUCAGUCUCAAGGUUCCUCUCUCUCUCUCUCUCUCUCACUCAUUCUCUGCGUUUCACUUCCAAUUUUUGAUGAAAAAGGUAGAGACUUUUGAUUCUUGAAUGCCUCGUAUGGAUCCAAACCAAAGUUUACCUCUUUUGUCUGAAGCCGACAACUUUAACUCUCAAGACAAUACAAUAUAUGCUUCAUGUAGUGUUUUUUUUUUAACUCUUCCAAGUUACAUUUGCAGAGUCAUAGGAGAGAAAAACUGAGUGACAGAGAACUCAUUCAAAUCAUCUUCAAGAAUCUAUUCCAUGGGAAGAUAACCUACUUACACUCUGGCAAAGGAGUAGAGAUGUCCCCAACCAUGGCUGCACACGAGAACACUCUUCUUGUCCGUAAGAUACCAAUUGCUAACACCAGGUAAUGUAUGUUCGUUCAUACAUAACCUUUUUUCUUUGUGGCUCUUCAUCUAAUUACCAAUAUACACAGUCUCACUUGUACAAAGGUUUCUUCUUUACAAUUGAAUUUAUGUGCUUAGGUAUCUGUUCGUUGGAGAUGCUGUGGUCUUAAAGGACCCAAACGAUUCAGACAAGUAUCUGGUGAGAAGAUUAGCAGCUGUAGAAGGAUUCGAAAUGGUAUCAGGUGAUGCAAAGGAGGAACCUUUUGUCCUCGAGAAGGAUCAGUGUUGGGUAGUUGCUGAAAACAAGGAUAUCAAACCUAAGGUACUUACAUCACUUUCCUCUUUUCCAAAGCUAGCACCAAAGUAAAGUCUAUAUUCGUGUUGACUUGGGUGUGGGUUUUGAGCAGGAAGCAUACGAUAGUCGAACAUUUGGUCCAGUUUCAACUGCAGACAUUGUUGGAAGAGCUAUAUAUUGUCUGAGAACAGCUGUGGAUCAUGGUCCCGUUCGAAACAGGUAACGAAGAGACUUAAGUCUUUCUUGUCUCUUAAUAAACAUUUUAAUUAUAGCUUUUCUGGUUUGUUUACUCUUAAAAAAUGGUUUGAAUCAGUCACACUGCGAUGGGACAAGAUUCUCCAAUCCUGGCAGUAGAAUUGGACGUGGACGAGAUGGCUAAAAACCACAAGGCACAAUAAAGAGAGAGAGUGACACUUUCUUGUUUUUUCUUUUUUGUGUCAAAGCUUACAUUGCGUUAUUUGUUUGAGAUAUGAGUAAACGAAUAAACCAUACAAUGAUGAUGAUGAAUCAGAAAAUUUCACGUUCCAGAACAAUAUGUUACUUGUGGCACAUAUGUGGUAUCGUUCUAUGGAAAGAAAAAAAUUAUCAUCUGUUGUUUAAUUCUUGGGAAUAAAAAAGAUCUUUGCUUUUACACACAGCGUAAAAGUACAAGGCAUUGAAAUCUAAGUUGAAUUGUUAUGGAGAAGGCGAUUUUCUUCUCCCAAUCGCCCAAACAAUAAUUCUAAUCAACUUGUGAUCUCUUUGGUUAUGUUCACUGGAGAUGAUAUCCAUAUAAUUAUUGAAAAUUGUUUUUUCAACUUUUUUACGGUUAAAUCAAUAUAUUGAUUAUGUACUUCAAUAUAUAUAUAAAAAUUGAAAUGAAACCAUUUUAAUAUAACAAAGAGAAUUGGUGUUCAUAAUGCGACAAAAAAUUGAAAAUCACGAAAAAAAAUCAAUAGAUAUUUGAUAUUAUAUUUAAUAAAAACUUCUCAAAUAGAAAAUCUUGAAGAUAACCAAAAAAAAGAUAAGACUUAAGAGAGUCAUAUAAUUGGUUUCUAUAGUCAGCUCAGAAUCAUUCCUAGCUGAAUAUACAACCGGUUGACCACAAAUCAGAGACACUAUGUUGCGAGCCAAAUCUUAAUGUCCCCCGCUUGGGUCACAAGCUCUUGCUACGAAGCUCGACACCUAAAGUACGUUUCUUUGCUCUAUGCCAACAAUUGAAGAACCGCCGAUGUAGGAGGAAAUAAAGUUUAUGAACUACUUUUUUUAUAUGGGCUGAAUCCUCAUUUUAAGGCCCAAAUUUAGAAAAUAAUAAGUAAUAGAGGCCCAUGAGACUAAAAAGAGCUGUAAACAUCGCCGAGGAAGAGAUUUCAGAAAAGCAAAUGCAACAGGAAGAAGAAGAAGAAGAAGAAGAAGAAGCUAAACCUCUCUCUUUCUCUGUUCAUGGCGCUUUCAUCAGGAACUUUGCAGAUUACUUCUAAUUACAUUCCUGGUAUGUUCAGAUACUUCUCUCUUUGUCGAAGUUGCGUUAUAAGUAUAUCUUUGCUCUUCUUCUUCGUCUUUCUCGGAUAGUUUUGUUUCGUAAGUGGGUUUAUGCUUAUUUCACCGGAACUAGAAUCGUUCUGGAGAAAAGUUCUGUUCUUGGAAUUAAAAUUCGAAUAGUUGUUUCUGGAUAAGCUUUUUUUUUAUGUCGACCACUUGUUCGAUGAAAUGACUGUGUGAUAUUGCAUUUGUUAUCAAGUUCAGUUCAGAAAUAAAGAAGUAUUGCGUUUCUUUAUAGAGUUCUCUGAUGAAUCAAUGUGUUGUUGUAAAAAUAAUGGAUUAUACUCUCCUUACUUUGUAUAUUGUUGGCUUUUGGUAAACACAGGUUAUGGAGUUUCAGACAGCAGGAGCUUCUCUAACUCUGUUGUGUCUAGAAGAGCACUUGCUGUAUCACCUUUCUCUUCCUGUCUUGUUCACAUCCAGAAUGGACGAUAUGCCCCUAAGAUGAUUUCAUUUGUGUGCCGAGCAAGUUCUUCUGGCCAUAGGAGAAACAAUCCUGAUUUCUCAAGAAACAAUAGGAAUGGUUUCAGAGGUAAUAGGAACAGGCGGAACGAAGAUAGAGACGGUUUAGACGGUGGUGGUGGUCUUGAAGACUCUGAGAUGUUGUCUUCCAGGAACGGUCCUGUGUUCUCUCUGUCCAGUUCCCCGAAGUUCCAGGCUACUUCAUCACCUGGACCAAGAGAGAAAGAGAUAGUGGAUCUUUUCAGGAAAGUCCAAGCUCAGCUCCGAGCUCGAGCUGCUGCUAAGAAAGAAGAUAAGAAGACUGAAGAGGCUUCUAAAGGGCAAGGAGGAAAAGAGACUGAGACUGUGGACUCUCUUCUUAAGUUACUGAGGAAGCACUCAGGAGAACAGAGCAAGAAGAACGUUAGCAACUUUGAUUCUGAAAAGCAGCUACAAGUAGAUGAUGAUGAUGAUGAUGAUGCUGAAAGACAGGUUCACAGUUCCAAUAAUUUUGAUUCGCGAAACAGGGAUCAUAAUGCAACACGUUUUACCAGGCCAGCCUCAAGCUUCAGACGCAAUUCGCCUGUACCCAGACAUAAACCUCAGUCCAGUUACUCUAGUGAGGCCAUUUUUGAUGAGGCGUCAAGUUACAGUGUGACUUGGACUCAGAAAAAGGAUCAAGUAGUAGAACCUGAGCCUGAAUAUGAACCAGGACUUGCCCUUCUGGAAUCAGAGCCAGAGCUAAAACCAGAGUCAUUUUACGAUGAGGAGGAUGAAGAUCACGAUGUCCUUGUAGAUGAAUUAUCAAAUGAUGAUGAUGAGUCUGUCAAUGCCGAGGAAGAAACUGAGAAAAAUGAAGACUUGAGUGCACUGAAGUUGAUAGAACUCAGAGCUAUAGCAAAAUCAAGGGGUCUUAAAGGGAUUUCAAAGAUGAAGAAAGCGGAGCUGUUGAAUUUGCUGUGUAGUAAUAAAGCAUGAUGAUAGCUAUGAACAAGAACAUUGUUUUAGUUUCUGAUACAGCCAAUGAAUCUCCAAAUAUUUGUUUCAUUCAUAAUUUUAGUGCAUUCUGAUUAAAAUUAGUUUUUUUCUCUAUUAGUUAAAGAGUUUUCCCUUUGGCUUCCAACAGCAAAGUUGUAAUGUCCUUUGCGAGUUAUGAAAUUGAAGUCACUUUCUUCAGUAUACAACACUGCUGUAUACUGGGAAAAUGAAACUAGGUAUGCAGACAAGUAUGCUGGAUUCAAACUAGAUAUGAAGACAAGAGAUGGUUUUGUGUGCGAUUCACACUUAUGGGUGUGGUUCUUCAAAAGAAGAUUUCAUAGUUAAUGUCUCUGUUUCCUUGUUCAAAUUGGAGCUUAAACUUUCUUGGCAAACAGAUGACCACUUUCGACCGUCUUUGAAGUGUGGGCAUCAGUGUCCAGUCUGUUUUUUUUUUUAUACAAAUAUUUAGAACAUUGUAACAUCAAUAAAAUAAAUCAUAAACGGUUAAGCAAGGAACCAAGCAGACGAGAGUGCUGGUGGUCGAUACUCUUGGAUGUGAACGAUUCAAAUAAAGGAAGUGCAUAAAUCAAGUGUCCCAUUAUUCGGAGGGAAAGAAAACAAGUACAAGUACAAGUCUCUCAGAGACAUUCUCAAUGGCAUAAAUGAAAUAGCAUUAUUCUGAGGGAAACACAAAAGCAAGAAAGAAAAAAAAAGAAGCUCAAGUCUUUCAAAGACAUGAGAUGAGACUACGAUUUGAUUACUAAACCUAUAUAGCUUAUUCAAUUGCAAAUAUUAAGUGCCAUUAUUCUGAGUAAAGACAAAAAAAGAAAAAAAGAUUUUACAAAUAUUACAAUGUCAUGAGAGUUUCCACAUGAUUGGAAUAAGUAGAGGCGAUCCAGAGAGGUUUGUCCCCCCCCAAACCAUUCUGGCGCCUGUAUUGGUCAUCCACAACUCCAUCAACCACGCUUCUUCUAUAAUAUGGAAUGGAUUCGCCAAAGCUAUACAUACAUGAUACAUGGGAUGAGAACUGACUUGAUAUGCCUAAAUUGAACCCGAAAAAUAAGAGGAACUGACCCGAGUUAUACGAAUUUUACCCAAAAAUAUUUUUAAAAUACCCAGAACCAUUAAGACCCAAAAAUUUCGGUUUUUGAUGGGUAUUAGAAAAGAUGACCCAAACUUACACGGACUUGACAUGAUCUGACCCAAACCCAAACCAAAAAAAUUUAAGUAUUUAGUUUAAAUAUUUAAGAACGGAUGGAACAGGACCCAACAAGAUCCGACUUGAGGACCCGAAUGUCCGUGAUGAGUUUAUAUAUUUUUUAGACAACAAAUGUAGAAUUGUGGUUUUGUUAGAAAUAUAUAAAAUCAAGGAAAUAAAAUAAAAUAUAUAGUUUAGAGUAAUGACUUGAUUUACUACAUAAUUGAUUCAGAUAUUUAACUUGGUUAACUUUGGUUUAUAUUUUUAUUAGAAUUUUUUUUGUUGAUUUGGUUCUAGAUACCCAAUUAUUUAUACCCAAUUAUUUUAUCAAUUUAAACCAUGGUUUGGAUUCAGAUAUUUAACUUGUUUAAAUUUUGUAUAUAAUUUUGUUAUAAUUUGGAUGAAGAAAACUCAUUAUACAUCAACUUAUUUAUACCCAAUUUUUUUUAUCAAUUAAAAUGGAUUGAGUUUAUCCUUCUUAACAUCAGAAAUUGUAUCUUUAGUUACAAAGGUAAAAAUGUCUUAAGUACCAACAAGAAAGACACCAAUCUUUAGGUAAAAAAAACAUAAGUUCUGACAGAUAUUGAUCAAUCUCGAGAUGACUCCUCACACACUCUUUAGGUGCACUUCUUUAUCCGCUUCAUGCGGAUUUCAUCCGAUGGUUUGACCAAAGAGACUGCCGAGCCGCGACAGACCCGGUCAGAGCGGUNNNNNNNNNNNNNNNNNNNNNNNNNNNNNNNNNNNNNNNNNNNNNNNNNNNNNNNCGGUUCUUGGAGAAUAUAAAUUUAACAUUUUAUUUGUCUUUCUUCAGGCCGGCUCUAUGCACAUUCACAAUUUUCAAAAUCAAAACUUAUCCAGAUUUUUUUUUUGUCAGCAUUUAUCCAGAUUUAAAACGUGAACUAGUAGUAGCUACUAACCUUAAUAAAUAAAAAAGACAAUGAUGAUGAUGUUGAAAUUUAUAUCGUUCCAAAUAACAAUCUCGGUGCGAUGCGUAAACGUUAAAUAUUAUCGCUUCGUUGUCAGCUACUCACGUUUUUAUCAUUCUAUUUAUUUUUGUUUAAAUUAUCAUUCUAGUUUGUUAAAUCGUAUUGUCUCAAUCCAAUGUCUUAUUAUACGAACCGAAUAGUGUGUGUAGUACGUUAAUGUUUUCGUGUGGGAUAUCCUCAGACUUAUGGCCUAUAUAAAAUAUAUUCAUUUUAAUAAAUUCGUUUAUGGACUUUUUUUGGUCAACUCGUUUGUAAACUAUUUAACAUUUAUAAAAAAAAUUUAAGAGUUAACUUACUGCCUUGGAUGAGUUAUAAAAGCACAUUCUUUGGUGAAGGGCUAAUUGGCAAUGGCCGCAGAUGCUUUGGACAUCUAUGUUUUGUCUAAAACAUUUUUAUCAAGCAAUCAUGUUUUAGUUUAAAAAAAUAAAACUACACCAAAAAAGUUAGAAAAAGAAAUAUAUGUUAACUCUUUUUUUUUCAAAACAGACUCAUAUUGAUUCUGUAAAUCAAAUCGAAUGUUCCACAUCUAUGUAAAUGACAAAAACGGUUGUUGUUUGGCACUGUGUACUAGACUGUCCGAUGUGUCUAGGGUACAUAAAUAAUUUCUGAAAUAUGUUAGCUCUUAAAAUCAAAGUUUCUACUGUUUUUAUUAAGUGCUUUAAAAAUAAAUCUAUAACCAAAAAAACUAAAGUCAAAACAAAACAUUCACAACCUAUUUUCUAAAGCAAAAAAUCUAAAAUUACAGCACCAACCAAUCAACCCCUAAAUAUUUUUUUUUGCUAAACAUGUAAAUAAUUCGUUGGUGAAUUACUCUUUUGAGUAUACAUAUUACUAUCUUAUAUUUAGUUUAGUUAUGUUAUAAAAAUUAUAAAACAAAAAUUAAAUUAUUUGUAAAAAUAUGUGUUUUAAAAAUAUUUUAUUGUAUUUUUUUAUAAAAAAAUCAUUUCUUUCUCUUUUUGUUAUUUUAUUUAUUUAGUUAUGAAAUACUCAUUGAAAUAAUUGUUGAGAUACCACUAAUGAAAAUACUGUACGUGGGAAAACAAUAUAUACAAAAUACAAGUUGCACAGCAUAUGAAACUACAACAGAUACACAACUAAAACAUUUAACACAUACGUAAUCUGUAAUAUUUUGCAUAUUUUGGACGUUCGACAUAUUUUAGAUGCAAAAUCUUUCCAAACAGUUUUACCUUAUUACCUUAACACUAAAGCUAAAAUUCUUUUGACAUAUAUAAAGUGUAAAGGGAAUUAAUAUGGAAAAAAUAACUGAAUGUGAGUAUGUGACUAUUACAAUCGACACAUUACUAUGUUUGUUUGACUUCGGUUAAUAUUUCUUUAAGAACCAAAUUAACAAAAUUGCAAAAACGAAAGAUAUCUCAACGACGAAUAUAGAGGAAAUAUUAAUUUGGUUUACAAAAAGACUCUUCCAAGUCUUAACGACAAAACAACACAAAAUCAAAAUCAGAACUCGGGUAUGUCCGAAAGUUCUUCAAUCCUACGACUACUAUUGAAAACCUCAAACCAAAACUCCAUAUCAUCAUUAUACAACUUCGAAUUAUUAUAACUAUAUAUUUUACUAUUGCUAUUUAGCAUUCCCUCCCAAUCAUCUAUCAUUUUCUCUUUACUAUUCUUAUUAUCUACCGAUACAACGUCAGACCAAAAACUAUCAUCAACCAAUGCAGAAAUAUCCUCGUACGACAUCAUAUCGUCCGCCUUGUUAUUAUUUGAAAUCUCUAAUGUUGUAAAUUGUUGCGUAGGAGUUGUGUCGACAAUCACAGAUUCUUUGUCUUCAUGUGCGGUCUCGUUAGUUCCGUUAAGGUUAUUGGUGACUCCGCCAUUGUUGUGGCCUUCGUUGAGUCUUUUCUUCAAAUGAGUGUGCCAAACAUUUUUAAUUUCAUUGUCGGUCCGUCCUGGCAAUUUUGCAGCAAUCGCAGACCAUCUAAAUAAUAACAAACAAACGAAACUAAACACUAUUAGGAAAAGUGUCUUACAUAUAAUAUAGUAUGGAUUUCAUCAAUUAUCACUUUAGUACUUUAAUAUUGCUUUUAAAAGCGGAAACAUGGAGAUAGAAGAAGACGACAAACCAAAAGCUAAUAUGUUUUGCAUCGAUCGAGGUGCAUAUUUUGUCUAAUAGUUAUAAUAUUGAAGGUUGUUUGGGGUUUAUUCAGUCACAUACUAUGAAAACAAAGUAACUAAAUCUUCUGAUACUGAGCAAAAAAUCACGGGUAUGAAUCUCUUCCUUAGCCCCCACAAUGUGAAAACUAAAAUAUUUUACAAAUAUUGCAAAUAACAAAAAUCGUUUAUAAGCUUAGACUAUGUUACAAUCUUAAUAAAAUUCUAGAUGAUGAAAAGCUUAGACUAAAGUCUACUUAUAGAGUAAUUUAACCAAAGAACAUUUGCAAAGUGGGAAAAGUAAAAGGAAAAUAAAAUCGUCGACCCAUAAACAUUUUUUGAUUUUGUAACCCUCUUUCAAGGAAUCGUUAACAGGUUGAUAAUUACUCUUCUGUAAGCAAACAAAGACAAACCUGUUGCCCAAUACUUCAUGUAGAUUGAUGAUAGUUUGUUCGUCUUGAGGAGUGAAAUUGCCACGUUUGAUGUCUGGUCUCAGAUAAUUGAUCCAACGAAGUCUGCAACUUUUCCCACAUCUAAGUAAACCUAAACAAAGUGUCCAAAAACACCAGAAGAGUAUUGCUUACAGAUCAAGAACACUAUUGAUAGAAAAUAAAUAUACAAAAUAAAUGAAAAUCACCUGCGUGUUUGGGAAGGGCUCGCCAGUUAGAAUGGCCAUAGAGAUUAAUAUAGUUAAUCAAGAUUUGAUCUUCUUCGGGAGUCCACGGUCCUCUCUUUACCCCCAUUUUCUCACAACAUGGUGCUCUUCCCAUUUUUUCCGUUGCUGUCUCGAGAAAAUAAAACUAAAAUUUACAAGUUUUCCUCUUCAAUCGAGUAAAAUGAUUAGAAGGCAAUGUGUUGGAUGGGUAUGGUGUUCUAUGAGAGCUAAAGAAGCCAAAUGUUAAUUUGAAGGGAAGAUGAGAUGGAGACGUCUAGAGUGAUUAUUAUAUAUAGAAAAAUUAUUAUUAUAUUGUGACAAACGACAUAUUAUUUUGAUAAUACAAUGCAACCGUGGGACAAUUCCAAGUUGAAAGUUACUCAUACUUUUGAUUCACACAGCCCCGAGUUUCCAACUAUUUAUUUUUCUUUUUCUGUUUGUAUGCAUUUAAUUACAUUUCGCAGCAGCAUGCAAAAUGUUUUUAACGUUGUAAAGAAUGUUUCUAAUUAGCAUUUUAAGCAAAAAUGAAUAACUUAUAUGAGUUUCAUAUUAUUAACUAAAAGAAAGCAUAUUGUGACGUUCUACUAUAUAUUCCCUAUGUAAUCGAUGUUAUAUUGUUCUGCUGCCAAUGCAGCCCUCAAAAUUUGCUUUUUAUGUUCAUACAAAAGAAGAAAUGAUAUUUAAGCAAAGGCACAUAAGAAAUAGCACUAGAAAAGGGUGGACAAAAUUUCCGAAACUCUAUUCGAGGUUCGUCCCGAUGUUUUUUGCGUAUCCGGAAGUUCAGCUUCAUAUUAAUACAUAUACAUCAAAUACAUCUUAAAAAUUCUGAACUAGAGUACUGCUAACCUACCAGUACUUAUAUUUAUUUUCUGAUGAUACGUUUUUUAAAAUCCUUACAGUUUAAAUACGUUCUGUAUGAUUUUAAAAAUAUUUCAUAUACAAAAAGUACAUAGACCUACUGUUUAUUGCUUAGUUAAUUAUAUUCAUGUAUGGGCUAUGAAACCUGUAUUAUUCACUACUAGCUCGGACAUAUCAUUUUUAUAUAUAAAUUUGAACGCAUAUUCUGUUCACACACGGAAAAGCUACUUUGAUGAGUCAAUUGUGAAAAAAUAACAUGACGUAAAAAGGCUUUAUGAAUAUUACUUACUAAAUAUUAACCCGCACAUAUAUUAACCCGCACAUCCGUGCGGAUAUAUUUAUAUUUUAAAAUUAACUUUUAAAAUACAAAAUAUAUUAUAAAGAUAUAUAUUUAAUAUCAAUUUUAUGUAUAUNNNNNNNNNNNNNNNNNNNNNNNNNNNNNNNNNNNNNNNNNNNNNNNNNNNNNNNNNNNNNNNNNNNNNNNNNNNNNNNNNNNNNNNNNNNNNNNNNNNNACUUUUAGCAAAAAAAAAAAAAAAAAAACUAAUGCAGGACGGCAGAAGUUUACAAUUUGUUAUUCUAUCGAACCAAUCCCAAAUCAAACGAAACGAACCAAACAAAACCAACUCCGGUUAAAACUAAAUUUAAUCAAACCAAACCGAAAUUGAAAUUGAUUUGGUCAUUAAAACUUGGCCUAAGCGCAAAAGACAAAACAGCAUUCUCUCUUUCGAUUCACGUCUCUGCGAGUGUCAUCGACCUCCUGAUCGGAUCGGAUCGCAUCGCAUCGCCGAUCUGGAGAUAUCGAUUUGAGAGUCCACAAAGGUUAGAGAUUUACAAAGAUCAUGGCAGUGGUGGAUGUUCACCGGUUCGCAGAGUCAAUCACUUGUCAUGCUUGGAGUCCUGAUCACUCCAGUAAUUUUCUUGACACAUGCUCUUGUCUUUUGUUUCUUUUGUCGGUGCCUCUUGUUCAAAGGAGGAAUCUUUGUUUAGAUCGCUUCAUAUAUAUAUAUAUAUAUUAUUAGUAGCUUAAUUUAAACAAAGAUAGCAGUCGAAGAUUGGUAGUUGAUGAGAUUUUCUAAAUAGAUGAACUCACUCACUCUCUUGUUACAAUGUCUUUUGUAACCAUUUAUGUAAAAAGUUGUUUCCUUUUAUUUUUCUUGUAGUGGUUGCGUUUUGUCCUAACAAUAAUGAAGUUCACAUCUAUAAAUCAGUACAAGACCAGUGGGAGAGGUUACAUGUCCUCGAAAAGGUGAAGCCUUUCUGAAACUAAUGAGCUAGCAUGCGCUCCUCUUUACAGCUUGAAUCUCCCUUACAAUCAGUUUUUUUGUUUUGUUUUGAAUCUGUUGCAGCAUGACCAAAUUGUUUCUGGAAUAGAUUGGAGCUCAAAGUCCAACAAAAUCGUCACUGUUUCCCAUGACAGGAACUCGUGAGUUGCCCAACCUUUUAUAUCCCUCCCUCAGAGGAAACUUUGUAUGAGAAACUGGGUUCACUGUUCUCAUUAUUCGUUAAAACUGUGUUUGAUAUUCCUCAAGGUACGUGUGGAGCCUGGAAGGAGGUGAGUGGGUACCGACUCUUGUUAUCCUUAGACUAAACCGUGCUGCACUUUGUGUCCAGUGGAGUCCAAAAGGUAAAUGUAUCAGAUCCAAAAGUUACUAGUUAUUUAGAUUCUUUGUCUAGGUAAAAUAUGUAAUCUACUUUUCCCUACAGAUCCAAAAGUUACUAGUUAUUUAGAUUCUUUGUCUAGGUAAAAUAUGUAAUCUACUUUUCCCUACAAAUGUCUGCAGCUUCUAAUCUGUUUUCCCAUUUUUUUUUUUAUUCAAUUUCCUUUAGAGAACAAGUUUGCUGUUGGAAGUGGUGCUAAAACUGUUUGCAUAUGCUAUUAUGAGCAAGAGAAUAACUGGUGAUUUUCUCUAAUAUUCUCAUUAUUAAUCGAUUUAUAUUUUUUUAAUUCGUGUUAAGUUUUGGCAUUUUGGUACCUGACAUUGCUUGGUUUUACUGUUCUCAGGUGGGUCAGUAAACUUAUCCGGAAACGGCAUGAAUCUUCAGUCACAAGUGUUGCUUGGCAUCCUAAUAAUGUGCGUGCAAUCAACACAACCUCGUGUACUUCAGUAGCUAAAAUAUUAAUUAGGCUGGCGACUGUAUCGAGUACAUACAUGGUGGCUAGAAUAGAAUAAUAAUCUCCACAGACUAGCUAAUCUUCUAACUCAUGGUCUGUUUUUGCAUUAGAUUCUUCUGGCAACGACAUCUACAGAUGGAAAAUGUCGGGUAUUUUCAACAUUCAUCAAAGGAGUAGACGUAAAGUAAGCUCAUGACUUGAACAUCUACUUGAAAACCAUUUUUGAGAAUGUAGGCCAGUUUCUUAUUUGUCUUCACUGACUGGGAUGAUACAGGGAUCCAAAAGCAGGCUCACCAGCAGAAUCUAAAUUUGGGGAGGUUUGUUUUCUUUGGCAGGCUUCCUUGUUUUUGUAAUAUACUAAUAAUGCUUAUGCCUUCUCUCCACCCUCUCAUCUAACACUGGGGAGGUUUUUUUUCGGCUGUGUCUGUUGUUGAAACAGCAAAUUCUACAGCUUGAUCUUUCAUACUCUUGGGCUUUUGGUGUGAAAUGGUCUCCAAGUGGAAACACCUUGGCUUAUGUAGGUCAGAAUAUCCUUAACACUUAGCCCAUUGCAAUCUACUGAAAUCAUACAAUGGAACUUAUCUUGGUUACAUAAUUGUUGUCUGUAUGUGUGAUCUUGUAUAGGUCAUAGCUCAAUGAUUUACUUUGUUGAUGACGUCGGUCCUUCUCCUUUAGCUCAAAGCGUUGCGUUUAGAGAUUUGCCUCUUCGUGAUGUGGGUCAGCAUCCACCUUUCUUUUAUAUUUUGAGAACCUGGUCUUCUCCUUGUGUUGUGUCCUGAACUGAUAUAUAUUGUAUGGAACUUUCUAUCUCAGGUCCUCUUUAUUUCGGAGAAAAUGGUGAUAGGCGUUGGUUAUGACACCAACCCAAUGGUGUUUGCUGCAGAUGAUACUGGCAUAUGGUGUGUAACUCUCAGAAUCCUCUUAUUAUAAGCUUAGAUCACGGGCCAGAUAACUACUUCUGAAAUGAUCCACUCACCGAUGAUUGCUUUGUUAUGAGCUUUUGGUUUUGGUCUGUAGGAGUUUUGUCAGAUACAUCGGAGAGAAGAAAGCGGUAUCCUCAGGUUCCAGUUAUAGUUCGCAGGUACAUACCAAAGUUCUAUUUCUUGCAAUAUGUCUGUGUUUUUAGCCUUACAGUAUAUAAUCUGAGUGAAGCUUUUAGCUUAUUCCUUAAUUUUCGUUAUGUUAUUAUGUUUACAGUUUUCGGAAGCAUUUACGAAGUUCUACGGUCAGUCAAAGGCUACAACAGCCAACGACGGUUCUGAAUCCUCUAAAUCACGUGGGGGCGUUCAUGAUAACUGCAUUAAGUAAGAAAAAAAAUGUGUCUUAAGCUAAUUUUGCUUUUACAAAAUCACUUUCAAGACACAGUCUGUCUCUUUUACUCUAUAGAGAUAUUGACCUGUAAAAUUACCUGAAACUUGCAGUUCCGUUGUUCCUCUUAGCAAAGCUGGGAGUCCUAAAGUAAUGCGAUUCAGCACUUCAGGUCAGUCACUAGUUCAGAAUUAACAUAUUCCUUCAUGGAAUCAUCCUAAUCAUUUGCUUGUAUAUUGGGUUUGUUAUAGGAUUGGAUGGCAAAAUAGCCAUAUGGGAUCUAGAGAACAUGCAAGAAGAGCUUGGCCAUCAGUUUUAAUAAACACAGAAAUAAAACAAAUCUGGAUCACAAGGUUUUUCUUAAUCUGUAUAUCAGAUUUCUUUUUUUCGUUCCCUGCCUUUUGUAACCCUUUUUCAGUUUCGUAAUUGUGUCACUUUGUAAACUACAAUAAGCCUUGCAGAGCUAUGUCCUUUGCCUCCGGAUCUUUGUUAUAUCUUCUUGAAUGCUACAUGAUUGAUCCAUUUUUAGUUUUAUAUAGCAUCUUAUAACGCCUUUUUCUGUUUAACUUGGCAUUACAUCUGCUGAUGGAUGACAGAUAACCAUUAUCCUUUGAUUUUUUCUCACUGAUUGCGAAAUUAACUACUGUCCUAAGCAUCUUCUAGAAGCAGAUAUACAGCUUGAAGAACAAUCGAUUAUGACUUGUCCACAACGUCGGUGCGUUGCAAUAUCAUAGUAAGUUGGUCAGGAGUUGGAAAACUUGACCACCGGUGUGUGCCUUUAAGAAACAGAUGUUGGCUACAUGUUCGAUGACCAUAGUAUACAUCGUGAAAUCGAAACUGGAAGCACUAAAUGGAACUACUAGUAUCCAUUAUCAUGGUGGUUUAACAAAUCUCUAAGGCAAGAACAGCAUCAAACGUCCUCCUUUCAUCCCAAGCUUUUCUGCGCAAGAGAAUAUCUGAUGCUGCAAGAGUUUCGACUUUUUCCUUUCCUUCUGGAACAGAAGAUUCUGACAAUGACUCACCUUGUGCAACUGAUCCAUUUAGUUUCAACCUCCUCUUAUCUUCAUUCACAGCUUCAAUGGGUUGCUAAGGAGAAAAAGAAAGAAAGAACGAACUUUGAUCAGAACAUAAGCUAUCAAUGUGACUAUUAACAAAGUGGUGAGAAGGAGUGGCAAACACUUGCCUUGUUCUGGUUCUCACUACAAGAAUCUUGAUACUUAGAAUGCAUACAACGAACAGAAACAGCUCUCUGUGCCUUCAAUCUCACAGAUGGAACCCGAUUCAAUGGUCCAAAAGAGCUUCUCGACCAAAUCUGAGGAUGAACCACAAACCCCUGAAGCCAUCAUGUCACUCGUGCUCCAGUCUUCCUCCUGUUGAUCAGGCGAAUGACGAAACCGAUAUGGAUUUUGCUCAGUUUUGUUCUGUUUCUCCUUUACCGCCGCUACAUUCUUCGUCAUCUGCCUCGCCUGUUCCUCUGGUUUAGUCGGUUUCCUAACAAGAGGCGUAUCUAAAGUCAAGGCUUUAGCUGCUGGCAAGAACCUUCCCAUCAUUAGAUCAUGUGUACUAGAACUCUUUGCAUCUGCCACAUGAUUAGCUCUAGUUUCAGAUUUCCUCAUUGCUUAUGCGUGCUCACAUGUCAUGAGUCCAUCCUCACGAACUAAACCAACUGAAGAUAUGUACACUAACUAGGAUUUAAUCCUAUAAUUAUUGAUGUUUUAUACACAAUUAUAUAAUUAUUUUUCGUUGAAUUUAUUGAUAUUUUGUUUUUAAGUUUUCUCUAUUUGUUUUAAAUAGAGGCGAGCAAAAUUUAUGUCGCAUCUUAUCUAGUCCUACUGAGAUAUAUUCUUGAUUUAUGGUUCAUGUAGUAAUACUUUUUUCGUAUGCUAUUUCAUGGUCUCACUUUAGAAUAAAUUGGAACGGGAUCUAAACAGAAUUUCAUGUGGGAUAAAAUUCAUGUACAGUAUAAUUUUUUGAUCUAUUUUUGAUUCUUCUUUGAUAAUAGAAGAUGACGAAAUGAAAAUGGGAAUUCCAAAAUCAGAUUUAUAUACUCUUGGAAAACCAAAGUGUUUAAAAAAAAUUUGAAAGAGGUAUAACAUUCUUUAACUGUACUAGCCAUGUACAUGUCAUCAUACAAUCUCUAUGUCAAUUCAUUUUUUCUAGUUUUUGCCAUUUCCAAGGCUAUUGGGAUCUACCACAUUAACACACGAGGCUCAAUAAUUAAAACUACAAACAUAACCCAAUAAGUUAAAAAUAGAAAAAUAUUCAUCUUAUCGGCUAUUAAAUCAAAGCUAAUUCUUUAUAUUAUGUUGCUUCUAGUUCUUUCCAAUAUGGCAUCAUCAUGAGUUCAUUUUCCCCUGCAUAUUUAGAUCACCAACAUUUCAUCUCCUUCUAGUAAUUAUUGUGUUCCACAUCUGCUUCUUCACAUUUUUUGUGGGCAUACAGUUCAUCAAUUGGAACUAAACAAUCAUUAGAUACAUUUGAUAAGAACUUGAAUCUUAUCUUCAACAUUUAAGCGUUUUCACCUAAAAUGGAAUAAGCUUCGUUUUAGACACUUGACUCCACUAUACUAAAAAAAACUCAAUAAGAAUAAAAUCGAGUACAAACCUCUCCAAGACGUAUAAAAAUCCAAUAAAACCACCGACCAAACUUAAUAGUACGACAUAUCAUGGUUAAUGUGGUAUUAUGAUAAGGUUUGGAGAUGCUAUAUAUCAAGAAGCUUAAAGGUAAGAGUAGUGGUGUUGAGUCUUACCAAUGGAAUGACAUGGAUGACGCAGAAUGAUGAAGGCACAUGAAGUUUUGUUGAAACAAAGUAAAGAGACUGGCUAAGAAGUUGACUGAAAACACGGAAAACAUUUGUAGAAGAUAACAAAGUACAUUGACUUAAAACAAAAGUAAGAUGUUUUAGAUUUUUUACUUAUUCCACAAAAAUAGAUUUUCUAUAUGUUAAAGGUACUUUUUUAUAUUUUUAAGAAACAUUAAAUGAAAAUAUUUGAAUUGAUUAAAUUUCAUUGGUGAAAAGUUAUUGGAAAAUGUAUAAUAAAAUAAAAUAAAAAUUAAAUUAUAAACAUUUAUUGAAUUCUUAAUAAGCGUGAAUACUUUAAAAAAUCUUACUUUCGGAGUAUAAUGUAGAAUCCUUGAUGGUGAGAUGCUCCAAACGCUUUGGAUUGAUCGAAAGAUGGCACACAUCAUCCUUUGGAUUCUUUCUAAGCAAUUAUGAUCGUAGCGUGAACAAGAUACAUAUAAUCAUGUAAUCGAUUUGCAAAACACAAAACUCUUUUAGACUAAAUAAAUUCAAAAUAGCUAGUGGUAUCUGCAAAGACAUGAUAUAACUGGUCCUCUUUUAAACAUUUCUAUAUAGAUUCAAGAAAGAGCGCCUCUCGACAAAAUUAUUUUUUUCGCAGGUGGGACAACUGAAGGGGCAGCAGCAUACAAAGUCAGUUGUAACAUUAUAUCAUAACAACCAUCUUCAAAACUGGUUUCAAUUUUAACAGUAUAAAUGAAAUUACAGUAAAAUAAGCAACUGUUUGGACAACAAAAUAAGUAGAAUCUAAGAUUGGUAGGAGCAUCAAUAAAUUUUUGCCUAUUCACUUGUAAAAUUUUAAGCUAUUUUACGAAAGGAUGAAGCUCAAAACCAGAAGCCACCAUCUUCCGGGCGAAUGAUGAAACCGAUAUGGAUUUUGCUCAGUUUUGUCCUUUACCACCACUACCUUCUUUGUCGCCUCCCCAGUUCCUCUGGUUUAGGUGGUUUCCUAGCAAGAAGUGUUUCUGAAGUCAAGGCAUUAGCUGCUGGCAAGAAUCUCCCUAUCAUCAGAUCCUGAGUUUGUCUAUCUCUUGUUAAGGUACCAAACGGCUCUACUAGUACCCCAUGACCACUGACCUUACUACAGUUGAAGAAGAAAGACUAAGAUCUUGAAAGCAUCUCAGCUGCAUCACAAUAAGUAUCAUCACUAUCAUCAUCAUCAUACCGAGUACUAUAGCUCUUUGCAUCCUCCACAUGAUUAGCUCUAGCUUCAGUUUCUCUACAAACUCUCCCAGGAGGAAGCUUUGGCUCAAUAUGUAUAGCUCAACAAAAGCUUGAACAUCCUGUUUCCUUUCGUCUUUAGGCUUUCCUAGUUUAUGUUCCCAUUGCAAAGGGGCAGUUCCUGGAUUCCUAACAGGACCUGACUUAAUAUCAGAUUUGGAAACCGGUGGAGAAGGAGGAGGGAUCUUGUUGGUUACUGAAUCAGAGGAUCUUCUUUUGAUCUUGGAUUCAGAAGCUUGUAUAGGCCUCUUCUAAUAGAUAGAAAAAGGCGAUUGAAUCAUUACAAAGACUUGCAGUAACUUGAAACUUCAUGUAAGUUUGCAGCAACCUCUUAAUCUAGAAGUUUCUUGUCAAGUAUCUAAGCCAUGAUUAAUAUAAAUUGUCAGAGAAGCAUCGAUUCUGCAACCCAAAAUCGUCAAGAAUAGAAGCUCAGUAAUGCAAAAUAUUUUAAGUACUAUUAUAUUUUGAGGUUGUUUUCUAUCGAUCGAGCACUGUUUUUAUAUCGGCUUUACAAGCUCCGAGAUAAACAAACUGCGACUGGUUAGAGACACCAGUUUACCAAGAUAUUUGAAAGUUAAAGUACAACGACUUGAAGAAAUGGAUCAAGAUAAAAUGGAUAAGAUGAAACGGACUAAGGGAUACUACUUGGUCUAAAACCAAAAAUAAAACAUAUAAAAGGAAACAAAAGAGUUCUCUUCUUCUUUAUCCCUCAAAACUUCACCAAGAGGUCUGUCUAAUCAAAUUAACAAUAAAAAAACAACAUUAGACAAUUUAGAGUUCAUCGUGAGACUCAUCCUCCUCCUCGGUCGCUCCUUCUCCACCCGCACCACCUGGUGCACCACCUGACCUCU